This 53713-nucleotide long non-coding RNA is filed under the name Ananas comosus (pineapple). RNAcentral's name for it is "long non-coding RNA (ACOM_LNC033685)". Lineage: Eukaryota; Viridiplantae; Streptophyta; Magnoliopsida; Poales; Bromeliaceae. The record is from RNAcentral.
ACAAUUACUUAUUUGAUUUGUGCUCCUCGUGGACUGAAGAUUUUUUGAUACUUUAUUUGAUUUCAUUAGCAGCACUACAGCAGAAUUAGAUUAUAAAAAUAUAUUUUUGGAGCGUUUUUGUAUAAGUAUUUUAUUUAUACCAAAAUAUUUUAAAAAAUCUAUUAAGAUCUAAAUAUAAAGUCCAAUCUAACAAAAAAAAUAAAAAAUUUCUCUACUCAACCAAUCCCACCCAAUCCACUCGGUCCGAUUACAAAUAGAAAAGGAAAAAAAAAAAUGAUCACCAUCUCCUAUUCUCCUCCACCGUCGCAGCCGACGAGUUAAGGUUCCGACGGUUGGAGUUCGACCGUAAGAAUCUCGCAGGGAUUGUAGAGGACUACGAUCGCUACGUGUCCCUUCGCCACAGGUUGAUGGUGAAAUGAAGGCGGCCCCAUAUAUAGCAACACUUUUAAAAAGUAUCGAUAAUUUAGUCAACAAUAUUUUUUUUGACCCGUACUGAUAUUUAAAAGUGUCGUUAUAUAUUAUUUUAUUGUAGUGUGGGCUCUCAACAGUGUUGCACCAUUAGUCGUCGUUGUGGCAUAGCAGAAGAUUGCAAACUAUUAGGAUAAGUUACCUCUCAAAUAGUAGAAUCCUGUUCCGCUUGUCGAGGAGGUUUUUUUUGCUAUUAGAACUCUAACUAUUUGCACCAAUUUGUCCAGCUAUUGACGGAUCUGUGCAUUAUGGUAGUUGCUUAGAUUGGAUACAAGAGGGGGGAUAAGAGCCUUAUCCCCUCUCUUGUACCCUUAUGCCUCCUCUUGUAUCCCAACACAAACCUUUUAGGUGGGAACUAUUAUAGUUCCCACCCAAAGUGGGUUAUUUAUUUGGGUCAUCUUGGGAACAAGCUUGUUCUCACCGACCCUGCUGCAUCUUGGGAGCAAGCUUGUUCUCGCCGACCCCGCUGCUAUAUAUAUGUAUAUAUAUAGUGAGGCUACUAUGCUAUCGAAAGUACGGAGCCUUCUGUGCUUCCAGCUUGUUUUCGAUGUUGCGAUUUUCGAAUCGUCGAUCGGCUCCGUUAAACUUGAUCUAGAGUAUUUGGAGUACCUAAAAAAUAAAUUUUAUUAUUUUUCGAUAUCAUUUGCUUAGUGAUCGAAGGGGUUCAAAAUCAACAAAUUUCAAUGGCCGUAGUAAGCCGUUUGCAAGUUUAACAGUGUAGAAAUAUCCAAAUCACGUGAAAUUUUGAUAGAAAAUUCUUUAUACUAUAUAAAACAAGAUCAAUAUCUUUGAUUUAAAAUUUUAAUGUCAUAUUAUUACGUUUUGUAAGAUUUUUAUUUUCAGCCGUUAUUUCGAGCUCCCUUUGUUCACUAGGCAAAUGAUAUCGAAAAAUCUUAAAAUUUUUUAGAUACUUCAAAUACUCUAGAUCAACUUAACGAGCCGAUUCGACGAUUCGAAGUCGCAACAUCGAAAACCGAGCUGGAGCACGGAAGGCUUCGUGCUCCGAUACAUAGUAGCCUCACUCUCUUCCUCUCUCUCUCUCUCUCUCAUAUAUAAUAUACUAUAUAUAAUACAUAUAUAUGAGAGAGAGAGAAGAGAGAGAGAAGAUUUAUUUUUAUUAUAAAUUAGAAUUUAAAUUUAUAAAAUUUAAAAUUUAUAAUUUGAAAAUUAAAAUUUAUAAUUUACGAUUCUAAAAUUUUUAAAGUUUAUAUUUUAACUUUGAUAUUUAAAUUUUAAAUUUUAAAUGUGAUAUUUUAUAUUUUUUAAAUUUAAAUUUGAUCUUACAUUUAAAAUUUAAUUUUUUAAAAUUUGAAAAUUUAAUUUUUAAAAGUUAAAAAUUUAAAUUUAAAAUUAUAAAUGGAAAAUUUAAAAUUAAAAAUUCAAAUAUAAUGAGAGGGUAAUAUUAUUAUUUUCUAUUUAUAACUAUUCACUAUUUUUCUUAAUCCAUCUUGUCUGUUCAAAUGCUAAUUUUUUUAUUUUCAGGAACAACCCAAUUUUUAGCCAAACAAAAAAUGGGUUAAGUUCUCGCCUAUACUUGAAUUUGUAUCUAUCCCUAGAAUAAACAAUUCUUACUUAUACCCGAACCAAAACAAGCCUAUGAGAGUAGCGUUUGGAUCGUGGAUAAGGGGAGGGAUAACCCCUUUUCCCCCUUUAUACCCAAACACAAAUUUUUUACGUGAGAAUAGUAGUUCUCGGGUACCUUAAAUAAGUUGGUAUAACUAUCCCUACCAACACAUCCAUUUUCUAUAUAAAACUACCAACUAUUUUUCUUAUUCCAUAUUAUCUAUCCAAACGCUAUUUUUUUUAUACCAGGGAACAACCCAAUUUUCAUCCAAACGCUAUUUUUCUUAUUCCCAUACUUGUACAUAUUCCUGUAAUAGCUAGUUCUUGCUUAUACCUGAACCAAACGAAGGAUUUAGUUAAAGGAUUUGGUGGUAAAGGAUUUAGUGGUUGCUACACGAGACCUCAAAUUCGAAGUCUAGUUACUUCAUAUUUUCAGCUAAAUUUAUUUAUUUUAAAAAAAUAAAUAAAAUGAACAACAUGUUUCCUUUUUCUCUUAAAAAAAAAAAAAAUCUUUGAGUGUAAUGCACAUUCCUACCCAGAAUUUAAUUAAGUGGGGGCAGUCCCCUAUGCUUUCCCCAAAAGCAAAAGCAAAAGCAAAAGCACAAGCAAAAGCAAUCACUAUCAUGUAUCUCACCAAUAAUUUCUUUUUUUCCUUGGUCAAGCACCAAUUUAUUCCGUUCCAACAAAUAAAUAUUCCCAUAAGCAUAUUCCCCACAACUUUAAAUAUAGGUCUCAUUUAAGAGAUUAGAACUUGAAAAAGGCAAUAAACUGGACCAAAUAUUCAAAGCAACCCACUUAGAUGAUAGAGGUUGAAAUAUAAGAUACCAUAGAGGGCACGUUCAUAUGUAGUUAUCCUACUUUUGAGGCUCUGUUUGGACUGCACAGUUUAUGCGUUGCUACGCUUGGUAUGAAAUUGCGAUAGAACUAACCGUCCUGAAUUCGAAUUCCGUUAGACUUUAUAUUUUGUUUACUUUAAUUUUCUCCUAUUUAAUUAUCUCGCAUCUAAGUCUUGUAAUAAAAUACUGUUCUCUACUAAGCUUAAGUUGAAUGCCGCCAAUAAUUUUUCCACAUUUUGAGUCUUUUAAAGAGUUUAGAGUCCAGACGUGAGUAAGAGUAUUGAAUAUAAAAUAUUAAAAGCUAAAUUACAUAAAAUUCUCUAUAAAUAUCCAUUUUUUUACUUUUCCUUCCCGACUUUUAAAAACCUAUAUUUUGUCAUUUUAAAAUGUUAGAAAUAUUUUCAAGGGAGUACGAUGUUAAUGGAGAGACUAAAAUGACCAAAUUACUCUUAUUUCUUCUAUAAGAUUUUUUAAUAUAUUUAUAUAAUUUUGAAGGGCAUUAGUGGUAUAUAAAUUAUAUAAAAUUGACGGAAUAGUGAUAGAAGAACUUUGACGGAGGGGGGCUAGAUAUAACAACUUGAAAUGUUGAGAGGUAAAAUAUAGGUUUCUGAAAUUUAAGGAGAAAAGUGAAAAAGCGAAUAUUUAUAUAAAAUUUUCUAUAAUUUCGCUAAUAUUAAAACAUUUUUUUCUAGUAAGCUUUCGAAAAAUAAUAACUGUUUCAUAUUAUUUAACAUGCGCAAUAGCCAACUGAGUUCAAUUUUUAAGGCUUUCUUGAAGCGGAGCAGAACAGAAUAGAAUUGAAAGAAGCUUUUUCGUUUAGAAAUAUGAAGACGGCAAUGGUCAAACUUUCUAACUAUUUGCUUUUUUGUUUUUUGUUUUUUUUAUUUUUUUAAGAUUUACUUUGGUUUGAGUAGUUGAGAUAACACAACUUGAUAAAUAAGUGCCCACCACUUGAGCUUUUUUGGGCCCAAUACAAAGUGGGCUUUUUGUAAAUAUGGACGUUGUUGGGCCCUCAUUGCCAUGUUUCCGCUUUUGUUUAUCAUUUCAACAAGAGUAGGUCUUCUGCGCCAUUAGGAACAUGCGCGGAGGUCUCCGUGCUCCUAAGCCGUUUUCAAUGAUUGAAAUUCCAAAUCAACGAUCGACUCCGUUAGACUUGAUCUGCGUAUUUGAAUUAUCUAGAGAAAUAAAUUUUGCGAUUUUUCGAUAUAAUUUAACUAGCGAUCGAAAGGGUUCAAAAUCAACGGCUGAAAAUAAAAAUCUCACAAAAAGUGGUGAUAUAACACAAACGUUCGAUCAGAUAUAUUGUUCUUGUAGUAAAUAAUAUAAAAAAUUUUCUAUCAAAAUUUCAUCUGAUUUGAAUACUUUUUCACUGUUAAACUUGCGGACGAUAUAUAUCACCCUUUAAAAAUUGUUGAUUUUGAACUCUUUAGAUCGCCACGUAAAUGAUAUCGAAAGAUCACAAAAUUUAUUUUUUAAAUACUUCAAAUAUAUUAGAUCAAGUCUAAUGGAGCCGAUCGUCGAUUCAAAAGUCCUAUCAUCGAAAACGGCUUAAGAGCACGGAUGCCACUGUGCUCUUAAUAGCACGCAAGUCCUACUCCUUUUACAAAAGAAUAAAUAUAACAUUUUUUACUAUAAUAGGAAUAAAAAAAUAGAGGUUCUAAGACUUUAAUUUAUUUUGUUUACUGAAGAGAUUAUUAAAGUGAUUAUCAAAGAGAUUUUGAAACAAUAGUUCUCUCAAGAGUAUGUAAUGCUAGAUUUAUAAAGAGAUUAUGUUGCUCUACAACUUCAUCAUUGAAGAGCAACUUUUUGUUCAUUAAUCUCAUCAUUCCCUUAUUUUCACUAUCGGCACGUUUAUAAUUUAACAGUGUUGAAGAAUCUAAAUUUAUUCAAAUUUUGAUCGAAAAUAUUUUAAACUAUUAAUCAAGGACAACAUCCUGAAUCUUGAAUUAAAAAAUUCUAUCCUCAAAUUUUAACAAUUGUUCAAAGUUAACAUUUAAGGAGGAGUUGAGUGAACCCUAGAAAAAACUUUGGCUGAGGGGUUGUACAGUUACAACCCUUUUUUAGUUAUAAGCUAGUAUUUCUCUUCUUUUUAUAGAAACUAUAAACAAAAAUGUACUUUCUUCCUAACCUAUAGCAAAAUCAAACGGAUCUUUUCAACUUAUAUUUUAUUUUUCAUUCCUCUUAUGUUUAACCACGCUUUCACUUAAAUAAUCUUCCAUGUGCUACCAUGGCCAUCCCUGAAAAGCCUCGUUGCCUGGAGUUGUCCUUCAUCUUUUCUGUAACUAAUGACGCCGUCACGGAGUCCAUCUCUUCGAUUUUCAUAUGGUGCAAGUUCACGAUCAAGUUAUCCUAAGAUUCCAGCAUUAUGCAAAGUAAAAUACUAACUUUUCUCUUCAUCAAUCUUCGCAUCAUAAUGCAUUUGAAUGUACUUAAAGUGUUCUUAUACCGUUGCUCCAUUCUUCAUUUUUAGAUUGUACAGUUGUUGUCUUAAAAGGAUUUUGUUCACUAAUAAUAUUUCUUGAUAAGGGAUUUUCAAAUUCUCUUAAACUCCAUUGGCGAUAUAGUUUUGGUCUCUAUUUUGAGCAGCACUGAAUUUUCAGCGCCAAAAAUUAAUAGAUUUGCAAUUGUCGAACAUCUCGUCCUUCUCUUUAAAUUGCUUAUUUGUCCUCCUUUUUGACUUGUUGUCCUUUCCUUGUAAGACAAUAUCACAAGCAUUUUUCACUAGAAUUGCUUGCAUUUCCAACUUUAACAGUGUAAAACCCUCUCGAUACAAAAAGUACAGCGAAAAUCGGAUCUUUUGUAGAGAAACAUGGUGAAAACAAUCGAUAAAAUAGGCACAAUAAUGACAAAGUAAGACGAAGCAAUAAAGAGCAAAGUACAUAAAAAUUUUACGUCGUUCGGCUAACGAUGUGUCGUUCUACUAUUAUGGACAAGACCUCUUCAAUUCAUUCUUCGAUUAAUUCAUGGCGAAACAAAUACAACGAUACAAAGAGUAGUCCGAAAGUUCUAUUUUCCAAAGAGAAAUUGUAAAGUACAUAAAACCCCAAAAUCCAAAACAUGUAAGAAACAAUCAGCAUUAUCCGUCCAAGUCUCCCGAUUCACUUUUAGCCAUUGAUUUUCUUUUAUCCUUCAAAAUAAUCCUGGUCCGAUUUUAAUCUUAAAGUACAAGAAUUAACCGAUUUCAAGUCGAAACCAACUUUGCUUACUUGCCACGGCCUCGGGUCCCGGAGCCUAAACCCAUGACUUCGGAACAUGACACUCCUCGGAGUGUCAGGCUCCGGAAUAUAACUAGAUCGUUCUGGAACGUCGACUAUCAGACCAGGUAAAACACCUUCGGAUUAUGCAGAACGUCACUCCUUGUUCCGGAACCUGGUGAGGUUGCAAAAGACACUUGAAUAGGUUCUGGGCUAGUGGGUUGAAUUUUCGGCGUUCGAUUGUACCCAACUAAUUGAUUCGGAGUGCGACUUUUAUCUUAAUCUAACAAUAAUGCGAUAUUACCCAACUAAUUGAUCUAACGAAAAACAACUUAUGAGUAGCCUACAAGUCAAGCCCAUUGAAAUUGGAGAUUAGUGAUUAGUGAUAAGGUGGCCAACACAGACCAGGUUCCUGUGAAUAUAAUGAAUUGCAAAUAUAUUCCUAUAAAGUUCAACUUUCAUAUAUUAUUUCUAUAAAAUUUUAAAUAUUUUCAAAUAUAUUUCUCUAAUUUGUUAUCGUUAAAAUACUGUCUAUUUUAUAAAUGAAAUGACUUUUUUACCAUCACAAAUAUAUCUCUCCAAAAGUCCCAACCGUUAAUUGAAGAGGGAUAAAAAGUUUAAUUCACCUGAUUAACUAAUUAAGGUUAAGUAUUUAAUCUAUCGUUAACUAAAUUUUUCCAAUAAAUUCUAACGGUAGGGAAAUAUUUGAAAAUAUCAGAACUUUUAUAUGAACAACAUAUGAAAGUUAAACUUUAUAAGAAUAUAUUUGCCAUUCACUAUAUUUGCAGUAACGUAUAUGCAAUUAACCCUACACACACACACACACACACACACACACACACACUGUAGUGUCCCUAGUAUUUUGCGGCCUGGGUGAUAUCAGCAUUUGGGACUUGUCGACACAUCUGGAGAGUGUCGGAACAAGUCGGAGUCGUUUUGGUGCGAAAUAGACGCAAAACGUACUCAACGUGACGCGAGAGUGGAGUUCUAUCACUGAAAUCUGCAAAAUGCAGGAUUUCAGUGUUGAGUACCGGUACCGGUACCCCAGGGGAUUACAGAAUUGGAUGCUCUCGGGUUGGCGCAUAUUUAAUGCUGAGUACCGGUACCGACUUGUCGAGUACCAGUACCGAGCCCAAGUAUCGGCACUGCAUCGGGCGAGUACAGGUACCCAGUGCGCGAGGUUGCGGGCUGAAUGCCUGAGUACCGGUAUUCAAGGGUAGUAUCGGUUCUCCAGCUGAAUUUUUGAGUAGGUAAGGGGUAGUUUGGUCCUUUGCUUUGUCGGUAACUUCAACCUUAUCAUUCACCUUUAUAUAGGUGUAGAGGGCUCAGAGAGGAGGAUGUUGGUUCUACUCCCUCUCUCUUUAGUUUUGGACGUAGCUCGUGGUGAGGUUGCAACUCGAGCUCAGGUGGUUUUCGACGUUGACCCGGAGGGCCCAUCGAGCGUGGGUACGUUGUGGUUGCGCCGUUGGAAGCCGGGCGAGUGCAUGGUUUCCCUUCUUUCGACUUUUCGCUGUUGUUGGAUGAGCUACUCGAGAUAGAUUGAAGUUUAUCGAAAUCGUCGGAUUUCCUCCUAAGCCAAGUUUUUAUCAGCAUGUGUUUUUCAUGUGUAGUAUCCUAUUAUUGCAUAGUGUUAUGAAAUCUGAGUUGGAGCUUUAGAUUUUAGAUUCGUUUUACAUGUUGAACUUGGAAUUGACUUAGGAGAAAAUUAUUGAAUCCUACACUGUCAUUUAUGAAAAGUUACCAGAUUUGGCUUUAGGAGUUGUGGUUCUUUUGUAUCGUCGCUGUUAGCAUGUGGUGGAUACCCAGAUUAGUGUAGAUUGAGGUUACGCUCGUGCUGGGAUGCCGAGUUCAUUUUACAGUAGGGCGUAGACUGUUUCGCAUUGUCGGAUAUCAUCGCGGUUGACGGUGGACUCAGAUGUUUAUAUCUUGCAUCAGAUUGUGCUAAGGGCACGUAAGUUUUGGUUGUUAGACCAGUUAGAACCAUUUGCAUUGACUACAGUUUGUGAGAACCUGAUUGAGCUCGGCAGAGACACGCUUACAUACUCGGUUGGGUAGCGCCCGCGAGUGCCGCUCCGGAGUGAGGCUUUACGUGCGUUGUCGUCGCAGUAGUUUUGUUGAGAUAGUGUUCUUGGGCCGGCCACCUUUGCGGUGGUGUGCGGUGUAGCUUGGACACAGGCGGAAUGGACCAAUUGGCAGUACCUUGGCCUUGGGUCAGUGUACUCGUUUUUGUAGUGAGAUGCAUAUUAUAUCUACAGAUAGCUUGUAUUGGUUAGCGAUAGUAAAGUGGCAUAUAGAUGUAGAUUUCUUUCCAGCUUUUCUUACUAUCCUUUGUUCAUAUGUUUUGUAGACUUAGUGGGCGAACCGUUGAGGUCGGUGGCGGUACCCACUGAGGACUACUCUAUUUUUGCAAUAGUUCUCAUACCCAGUUGUUGACCCUUUUUGCAGAGUUUUCGUCUGUGGCUGCUGCUGUAACUGAUUUGUUCAUGUACAUACUUUUUGUUCGGUUUACUCGCUGGAGCGAGGUGUUUGUGUUGGUCCAGAACUUUUGUAUGCAUUAUGAACCUUAUAUUUUAUAUAUGCAUAUUUCAAUUUAGUAGCUCUAUACUUCUGGUUGCAACUAUGAUUUGAUUACAGGUGCAGCUAUCACUUCGUAUACACGAAAAAUUUCUAUAUAUACGUCGGAUCUAUUGGCGUGCCCGAAAAAAUUUGUAAUUGGGGGACGUGACACACACAAUAAAGUAUGGCCCAUUUUAACAAGCAGAGGUUGCACCUAAAAUGAGGCCUUAGUCCCACACUUUGUGACUCACGUACUCACACAUUAGUGUUCACCGAACCAGGGCAUAAAAAGAUUAAUUAUGGAAAUGAUGAAAUGAUUUAGUCUUAUAGAUUGUACAGUAAGAUUUUGUAUUCUACUAUUGUCCUUUUUGUAAGGGAAAUGAUUUGGCUUUGUAUAGAAAUCACUUAAAUUUUUCACAUUAUAGUGCAAAUACAUUAUUUGAUCAAUAAUAUCUAAAAAUAAUAUAAUUGGAGACUCAUCAUAAGUGUUUUUGUUAUCUAUCUACAAAACAAAAAAAAAAAAAAAAAAGAAUCUCCUCAAUAUUGCAUGUGAUGAACAGUUGAUUAAACUACUUCUGCAAAUAAAAAAAAGAAAAAAAAAAAGGGGGUUCCUAGCUACUUUAUUACCCGUCUUUGAAUUUUGCUGUUUUGGCGACGUUGCAAUUAAUCUUAAAAAAUUAUCUUAUUAUUUUUCAAGAUUAUUGGAGAUGCAACUUGUAGCAUGUUGGAUGAACCUAAAUUAACCUAAAAGCAUGUUAAUUUGUCCAAUAAUCUUUUAUAAAAAAGCUCCUUAUAAAAUGAGUUACAGAUAAAGGAUGAAAAUUUCCAUGAUUGCCCGAUAUAUUAAUCCAUCGUCGAAUGUGAAAGAAUAGCUGGUUUUUGUUAAAUAUAAAAAUACAAAAAUAUAUAUUGUUCUUUACUAAUUUAAGUUAUUAGAGAGUAAUAAUUAUUUUGUAUUUUAUUUAACAUGAUAUCAAAACAGAGUAUAUUAAAAUUCAAAUUAUAUUAGAUUCCUAACAUAAUUCGUUUUCUCCCAUUUUAUUAAAGUCCAUGUCAUCGACCCCAUAUGUGAAUGUGCAACGUUGAAUGAGAAAUUAAUGACACAGGCCAUUUCAUUUUCAUGCAUUAAUUGCGGAAAAUAAAAAACACGCUUUCUCAAAUCCCAAUCUGGGAAUAAACUUCUUCAAAUGAAACCCAACACCAACCAUAAUAAUUAGAGUUAAAUGAAGCUAAUCUCAAACAUAAAACUAAAGAAUUUUAUGUGUUGGUACAUGAACCAAGACAUAACUAUAACUAUAUAUAUAUAUUAUUAUUUUCCCUAAAAUAUCCUCUCUAGUUUUACUUUCUCUUAAAGGUAAUGAUUAAUAUGAUGGCUCCUUGCUCUUUAUGUCACGAUCAAUUAAUAACCAUUACUAACCAUUUUCACUACAAUUAAAUUAAAAGUACUUAAAUUACGUACGUUGAUUCCAAUUUAAUGAUCAUUAUUACCAUAAUCACCAUCCCGGCCACUACUGUCACGAUUAUAAUUGUGGUAAAGUAGCACGUACACAUUCCUAACUUUCACAAAAAAAUAACUACAGUAAAAACCAAAAAGAAAAAAAGAAAAAAAAAAGAAAAACCUAACCUCCCAAGCCAACCCAAACUUCUAAAUAUAGCUCAUUUAGGCCCCGUUUGGAUACCUCUAAAAACGUAGCAUAGUUAAACUAUGCUACGCUGGUAGGAAAAUAAUCCUAUGAAGCGUUUGAAAGAAAAAAAAAUGACGUAAUUUUUGGAGUAUAGUUAUACUAUACUCCAAAAAAUGGAGUAAACUUACAAUCCACUUUAACCAAAGGAAAAAAAUUCCACCAUUUUGGGCUCCCAAAGAUGUAUCAAUUUUUAAAUUUUAAAUUUCAACAUAAAAUUUUAGAUUUCAAAUUUUAAAAUUUUAAAAUUCAAAUUUAAUUUUGAUUUUAAAUUUCAAAUUUUAAAUUUCAAAUUUCAAAUUUCAAAAACUUCAAAUUUUAAAUUUUAAAUUUCAAAUUUCAAAAACUUCAAAUUUCAAAUUUCAAAUUUCAAAUUUCAAAUUUCAAAUUUCAAAUUUCAAAUUUCAAAUUUCAAAAAGUUCAAAUUUCAAAUUUCAAAUUUCAAAAAGUUCAAAUUUCAAAUUUCAAAUUUCAAAUUUUAAUUUUAUUUUUAAUUUUUAAUUUUCAAUCUUCAAAAUUUAAAUUUAAACUUAAAUUUUAAAUUUUAAAUUUAUAAAUAUGUAAAUUUAUAAAUUAUUAAAUUUGAAAUUUAAAAUUUUAAUUAUAGAUUUUUUAAAUUUCAAAAUUUAAAGUUUAAAUGGUAUACUUUAAGUUUUAAAUUUUAAAGUUUCAAAUUUCAAAUUUGAAAUUUCAAAUUCCAAAUUUCAAAUUUCAAAUUUAAAACAUAAAAUCUAAUUUACUUUUUAAAUUUUAAAUUUUAAAUUUUAAUUUUAUAUUUUGAAUUUUUAUUUUUAAUUUUUAAAAUUUUAUUUUUAAAUUUUGAAUUUUGAAUUUUGAAUUUUGAGUUUUGAAUUUUAAAUUUUAAAAUUUUAGAAAUUUAAUUGUUAUAAAUACUGUGGAAUUGUAUGAUAUGUAUCCAAAGAGCUUAAAAAUGAAGCUGUGGAAUUUUUUUGUAGUUACAGGAUUCCGUAUUUCAUUUAGACCAAAACCAUAGAAUAAAAAUUUCAUGGAGUUUUUUAACUAUGCAUCCAAACAGAGCCUUAUUCUAGGUAGGCUAUUCCCACCUGUAUACUAUCAGUAAUACAGUGUAUUAGAUGUGAGUAACGUGAUUUAAUUAUUCUAGACGAUUCAUAAAGAUACAGUCGAUCCAAUAUUUAGAAUGUGAUUUAUUAAGACAAUUCAUAAAGAUACAGUCGAUCCAAUAUUUAAAAUGUAUUCAGACACAUCUUUGAUGAAUGGACGAUAUAUAUAUAUAUAUAUAAUGAAAGUUUCGAUCUAAUACUAAUUCUAAUUUUUUGUGAUGGUUCCAUCUCCGAUGAUAAGAACAUAGACUAAAAACAUCUUGCUCUUAUGCAGAUUGUGAAUGAGGAAUCACAAGAAAAAACUGCCGUAUAUAAUUCGUGUUUGAAAAUCAAAAUCAUGCGUGAUAGAAGGUAUGAAUUUAAUUUGUAUAUGGUUUGACAUAGUAACCUUCAUAUUAUCAAGUUAUUUUUAAUAAUGGGAUAUUGAAACUAACGAUCAGCUUCAUUACACAUGAUAUAUGCUAUUGAAAUUUUCUAGAAACCAAAUUUUAUAUUUUUUCAACAUCAAUAGACUCCUAAUAAAAAAGUCUCCAAUUUAACAAUUUUAAUGAUCGAUUUGAUAUAUUUGUAAAUUUAACGGUGUAAAAUAAUCUUUUUAUACUAUUCGGAGCAAGAUUAGUACUUUUAAUAUGAAAUUUUAAGUUUUUUUUAUUAUUUUUUCUGAAAUAUUUAUUUUCAGCCAGCUAUUUUGAGACUGUUCGUUUUAAAAAUAAAUGAUUUUGAAAAAUUAUAAAAAUUAAUUUUUAAAUACUUUUAAUAGUAUAUAUCAUGUUUAAUAGAGCCGAUCGUCAAUAUGAAUGUCUCAUCAAAUAACUUGGUACCUCUGUGCUACCGAUAGUAUUAAAGCCUAGUUAAUAGGUAGGAAUCUUUCUUACUCUAGAUUUAUAUUUACCACUUGCCAAACUGUAACUUUUUGCAAAUGAAUCGUCCAAACUAUUUGAAAUUACCAGAUAGUUUAUUACAUUCCUAAAUAUUCAGCACGUCGUUGGAAUGAUCCGAUCCAUUAGUAAUAAUAAUUCGUUGGAUUGAAAUCACCAGCCCAAAAUACUUAUAUCCAAUUAUUAUUAUUAUGGUCCACAAUCUCUUAUAUAUUCAAUUGCAAUCCCAUUUUCAUCAGAUGUGAGACUAUUAGAAUAUGACAGUGGUAUUAGGUUUUUAUUUUUUUAAUAACAAAGCCUAAUGUAUGUGCUGAGAUUUUCAAAAAUUUGACAGUGCAAAAGAUUAAUUAUAUUUCAGUUCCUAAACUUCUACGUUAAUAAUUACUUUUAUUUAUAAAAUCAAAUGGAAAUAACACCUAAUAUAUAUAGUGCAGAAAAAUAACCUACAUUGUCUCUAAAUUUAUGUAAGUAUUUGUUAAUAUUAUGUAAAGAACUUGUAUAUCUCUUCCGGAAAACACUUUUGUCUCCAAAAUCUAUAUUUAAAUCAUUUAAGCCAUGGUGGCAAACUACAUAGAUGACGAAGUGCUAUUUUAAAUUGAUUUUGAGAUGAAGAAUAAUAAAACACUUAAUUAUUAUCCUUAAAAAAAAAAAAAAAGGAUUUGAUUGUUUAUAAUUAUUGUAUAAAAUUGGGAUAAUAUCUCACAUGUCCUUCACAACUUUCAAAAAUAUUUAAUAUAUGAUUGGUUGACCAAAAUGCCUUUGUUGCUUACAGAUAAUUUCUUCAAAUAUAUCCCUACUCCUAACAAAAACGGUGUAUAACGAUACUUUUAAAUAUUGCUACAGAUAAAAAAGAGUGCUGCUAGCUAAAUUAUCGAGACUUUUUAAAAGUGUUCCUAUAUGUGGGGUUGCUAUAGGUAAGGCUGCCUUAAUAUUAGGGACCCGCUUCUCCAGCGACCUGUAGCGGAGAGAUACGUGGCGAUCAUAGCCCUUUAUGAUCCCUGUAAGAUCCUCGCGGCUAAACUCCAGCUGCCGGAACCUUACCUAUAUAUAUAUAUAUAUAUAUAUAAAAUAAAUUAUAUAGUAGAACUGGACUGCUAUCGGUAGUAAACAGCUUAGUAUACUACUGAUUUAUUUUUCAAUAAUAGAGUUUUCAAAUCGACAAUCGGCACUGUCGAACAUGAUCUAAACCAAUAAAAUUAUCUAGAAAUCAAAUUUUAUGCUAUUCCGAUAUUGUUUUUUUAUCCAUCAAGUAGACAUAAAAUAAAUGGCUGAAAAUGAAUAUUCUUUAAUUAAAAAGUGAUGAUACAAUUUUUGUAUUCAAGAUUUCAAGUCUAGAACUUUUUUAAAUAGUUUAAAAAAUUUUCUAACAGAAAUUUAGCUAAUUUCGAUUUUUUUAUAUCAGUAAACAAGCAAACAUGCUGUAUCGACCAUUAAAAUUAUAAAUUUUGUGAACCUUUGAUCGUUUGGAAAUAUAUAAAUAUUUCCAAUCGCCUAUCAUAAAUUAUUGCUAGCAAUUAAUCAAGAAAAAACAAAAAAUAUCAUUACUUUUAAAACAAGUUUAGUCAAAUCACAAUAUUAUAUUUUCCCCGCUCUCUAAUAAGAAUCAUAUUAAUAAAAUUUUUAUAUUUUAUAAUUUAUUUUUUUAUUUUAAUAACUGAACUAUAUAUAUUUUUUUACAUGCAACUGCGUUCUGCAUACAUACGCAUAAUUUUUGUUUACAAUGCUUGUCAAGAAUAUUCUAUAAUCUAAUAAUUUUUCAAAUUAUCUAAUACCAUUUUGACCCUAAAAAUGGGGCUCUUUUUUUUUUUUUUUUUUUCGGAAACUGAGCUUUACAAACCCAUGCAUGCUCUUCCAAAUCCAAUAAUAUUUUAAAAAAGCUCCUAUGAGUUUUCUAUUAGUGCUCUAAUUGCAGUAGCUAAAUUAAAGUUUACUAAUUAAAAGAUGAAAACAACUCAAGAGGUGGGUUAGAUAUUAAUAUAUGUAGCACAUGGAUCACGAGUAUUUAUUAGUAGAACUAGUCAAGAAAUUAAAUAGAUUAAUAAACCAUGCUGAAGUACUAAUUAAGAUAGAUAUUCAAAUUAAUGGAUCUUAACUAUAAGUAUUGCUAUAUAUGGGCACUAAAUCUUUUGAAAAUUAAGUAUUACCCAAAAUAUUAAUUUGAUAGAACUGACUCCAUACGUUCUAGAAAUAUACUUUAACUCACUAGCUCACAUGCAUGAUAUAAAUAUAUAAGUCUUGUGAAAUUGACGAAAAGUUAAUUAAGACAUGUAUUAAUUUAACCCACGAUGUUACCUAAUAAAUUAUAAUCAAUUUUACAAAAAUUAAUCUGAAAAUAUAUUCAACUCACAAAUUAAUGACUUGCACUACACAGACCAACACAACACGUAAAUGAAUACAAAUAAUACGUACGCAAUGCAUGCAUUAUUCUUCUACCAUCAUUGUUCUAGAGCAAUUGGUAGAUAUGUAUUCUCUGCAUUAUACAUAAGAUCCAAACUUAUGCCUGUCUCGAACGAAAAACAUGUGCGCGUGUUAUAAUCUGCAGAUAUCUUCUAAAGAGAAAAGAAAAAAAAAACCCCAAUAAUCAUAAACCAUUAAUUGUCUUAUUAAUUGUACCCGCCACAACAUUACUCUAGAACAAUUGUCUAGAGCAGUUGGUAGGUAUGUAUUCUCUAUAUUAUAUAUAAAGUCCAAAUUUAUAUCUGUCUCGAACGAAAAACAUGUGCGCGUGAUAUAAUACGCAGAAAUCUUCUAAAAUGAAAAAAAAAAAAAAAAAAACAAUACUCAGCAUAAACCAUUAUCUUAUUUGAUUGUGCCCACAGCAUUAAUUACUCUUGGACACGCUUUUAUUUGUCCCAAAUGUGAUUGUGUCAAGCGAUACAUCGCAUUUGUUGCAUUGCAUCAGCUAUCUACAUCAAACAGUGUAUGGAUGGGCUCUUUUUUCUUUUUUUUUCCUUUUUUUUCUUAUGGAUGGGCUCUUUUUUCUUUUUUUUUUCUCUCUCUCUCUCUCUCUCUCUCUCUCUCUCUAUCUCUAUCAUUAUUAGUGUUUUCCUUGUUAGAACUCUUUUUUGUACGUGGCAUUCUAUUUGGCCCUUUGAUUAUGUAGCCUAAUCUCUCAACACAUUACUUAAUUAGUUUUUAAUUAAUUUGCACAACACCAACUACGUGCCCUUUGUUAUUGCGUGUGAGCUUCGUCCAACACAUGUACACCCGGCACCCUCGUUCUCCUUUUUCAUCAUCCAAUCCCCACCCAACGCAUGUUCGAGCUGAGGCGAGGGCUUUUCAAAGAAGCCAUUUGGUUCCCUUGGAUCGCCAUCAAAGUGGGGGAAACAUGGUACUACAGUUGACAAGGAUGUGUGUGAACCCUAGCUUUGCAAUGAAUUACUAGGACGUGACAUUUUUCAACCGUGAUGGAAACAAAUUUUAUCAGAGUUUUGCUCGGAUGCUAUUGAUAACACCAACCCGUAGGCUUGGUGCUAUCAAAUUUUUCACUGUUAAAUUUAAUUCUUUAAUUAUUUUUAUUCGUUAGAUUAUGCUAUUCUUAAUUCAACCAACCACCCACUCAAUUCUAAGAGGUCCAUAUCAUCCUAACCGCAUAUAUCUUAAUCGAAGGGCUAAAAAAAUAAUAGCACCAAUAGUUUGGUGCUAUUGAUAGUAUUUCAGCAUAGUUCUAUAUAUAUAGUUAAAUAAAGCCAUUGAUCCACAAGUUAUUUUCUUGUAUCUUUCUUUACGUUGAUAUAUAAUUGUUGGAUUGUUGAUGUACGUCAAAUCAUUAAUUUCAAAAACUCGGACAGUUAAAAAGAUUCAACUAAUUAUUCACUUAAAGUAUAUAUAUAUACGUAUCGAUAUAGCGCACAUGAGUCUUAAUUGUGACUCGGAUCCAUAUCUAGGUAUUUAUGUUACUAAUAUACCCAUCGGAUUUAUUUUUAGCGGGUCUGGGUAGUGACUAGCUACCGUAUACUACCCGCUUAAGAUGGGAUACGGGUCGGGUCUAGAUCGGAUAUAAAUACCCGUAUGCACAUAUUUUAUAGACUAUUAAACAGUUUAUUGGCAAAUCAUAAAUCUCUCACUAUAGAAAACUUGCAUUCUAAUGAAGUGCACCCAGUAAGAGGGAUUAAAGAGGCAAAAGAGCGAUUAGGGUUUGAUUUCCUUUUCGUUUUCUUUUGUUUAUUCUUUUCCUUAACUUCAACGAUAAAUAAGAGCCACUGGUUAGAAACGAAGAUUCAAGCAGUAAACAAAAUGGCUAGCGUUAAAAAAAAUAAGGAGCUAAAAAAAAAAAAGUAAAAAAAAAAGGAGUAAACAUGGCGGAUAAGUUUCAUUAUAAUAACAAUCAAAUCCUAGCUUUCCAAAAGAUACUCAUCAUGUCAUCUUGUUCCUCCCAUCCUGAAUUUAACUGAAAAUUUAUGAGAGGAAUAUGAUGGCUAAAUUUCACCAUUGAUCCUUAAAUUAUUAUUUGCCUGCAGGCUUUUCCUUCCCCUGGUCCUUAAAUAAUAAUAAAAAAAAAAUCCUUAAAUUAUUAUUCGUGUCUUACUUUGAUACUUCAAUAACAAACGUAGUUCAUAAUUAAUGUUGGGCCCGCCUUAAUUAUAACACUCUCGUACCAAUUCCUGUAAUUGACCCUACGAUUAAAAAUCUAAAAUAAUGUACGUAGUUUUGUGCCCACACCCUUUUAAAUUACUUUUUUUAGAAUUUAUUGAAUAGUCGAGUUUCUCUUGUGAACUCUCAUGACUUAUGUGAACGUGAAAAUUGGAUCGAACAAUUUCUGAGUGUUUUCAGAAUUGAUCUUCACCUUUUUGAGUAUUUCCAGAACAGUUUCUCUCUUUCCGGCCCUCCUUUCUUUCCCUCUUUUCUACUCUACUCCUUCUUCUUCUUCACCACCACCACCACCACCACCACCACCAUCUAUCUCCUUCUCUUCCCCUUUACAUCGAAUCCAUCACCAUUGCUUUCCGUGAAGCUAAUUAAAUUAAACCACCAUCAUCUCGAGUUUUUGGGAUUAGUGACUAACGCCAACAAUCCGACAAGUGAUAUCAGAGUCAGAGGUCACGGGUUUGGCUUCUCCCUGUGUUUUGAUUAGUUUGCGAGUUUUGGCACCUUUUGGCUUUUAGUUUGAUAUGUUUUGGCUUUCUUUUAAUUUGCUAUAUAUUCUUGGUUGCAGUUGACCGGUAUAUAUAAACACAAAAGAGUACUGGCUUUUGAGUCUUGGUAGUCAAACUGGCUAGUUCGGAUGCAUGCAGUCAACUCGAUAAGGCGGGCGGCCCCUUAAUUAGACUACGGCAACUAUCAGCAGAAUCUUCUUUCCUUUCUGUCGAUCGCUGAUACACCAAUAAGUUAUGAGUAGGACAAUAUUAUCUCAUUAAUUUCUAUCAAUCGCUGAUACACCAAUAAAUUAUGAGUAGGAGUACAUUAUCUCAUUGAGUUAGUAAUUUUGCAAACUUUUGUCAUUUAAAUUGUGAAUUUUAUGAUCAUAAUAUAUAGCAAGAUAAUUCUUGUGAUAUUAGGCAUACAUAGUAGUCCUCUUAAAUUGCUAUUUUCUGAUAGAUUCUUCAUGAUUCAUGACGGUAUAUCAUUAUGGCAUUAACUGUGCCGAGUAAUACUUUGUUAGUGUGGCACGAGGUUUGUGUUGGCUUAAAUGGGCCAGCAUUUUGUCUUGUGUCGGAAGGCCAUGUUGGGCCAAGUCAUGUUCAAAAUGGCAUGAGGCUAGGUGGGCUGAGUCAUGUUCGAAGUGGUGUGAGGUUGGUUGGACCGAGUCAUAAUCGAGACUCGUGGGCGUUGUAUCUACGCACGCUUUAAGUGAAUUGGUUGUAUAUUUCUAACAGCUCGAUUUUGUGGGAUUAGUGGUUAGCGCCAACAAUCCGACAAGUUGUAUUAAGUCAGAUGUCACGGGUUCGAUUCCCGCAUGCUGCAAAUGUGUCUAGAUGCUGGAGGGAAACUUGUUUGUUUAAAUGGGCCAACAUCCUGCCUUGUGGCGGGAGGUUAUGUUGGACCGAGUUAUGUUCGAGGUUUACAAUCGCCAUGUUGGGAGUCACAAUCGAGAUCCGUGGACGUUGUAUCUAUAUGCUUUAAGUGAAUUGGUUACGUGUUUUUAACAGCUUGAGCUUUUGGAUUAAUGGUUAUGAGUUUAUAUUACAUGAGUCAACCCGGUUGUUUGCGCUGGUGUGUUAUUAAUUAUGACCAUCCUGAUAAACAGCAGAUUAUAUAUAGUUACCCUUGGACACUAGACAUGAGUACUCAUGUAUCUAGGAUGUACAUCUCGAGGAUUGAUGACUAAGCUGGGGACUCAAGAUAGAGUUUUGUAUAGAUAAUAUGCGAUCCAAGAAAAUAAUCCAUUGUUUACCAGAGAUGGCAUGGGUGCAUUAUACAGAGAUUUGGUAUGUGGAGCGGAUAAGUAGAGUAGGAUGCAGUGAGUAGAUGUAUGCUGAGUUUGGUACGUAGGUUGGGAUUAUACCUAACGCUGCCCAGAGUGACAGAGUUAAGCAUAUUCCUAACAUUUGGAUGCCUGAUGGAUUUACCAAGGUAUAUGUAGAACACAGUGGAAGUAUUCGUUUGUACCUUUUUGUGAAAGCGAUUCGCGCUAUCUACAACGCGAUGAGCCGGAUCGGAGGGAUUGAUUUACGUUUCCUUGGAUCGUCCUUGAAAAUCUUAUAACGCCCCGACCUCACGGUGGAUCGAACUACAAAUGAGCACGACCGCAAAUCCACCGUACAAGUCCCUCGAGAAUAAUAGGUUAAUGAAGGAUGUGGUUUCUCUCUCUUUUUUCGGUUCGUUUAUCGUUUUAUGUGGGAUCGCUCGUAUAUUUAUAAGAAAUUCUAAAAUUCUAAUAGCGUAAGAGAUAAGGCCAAAUCGGUUAUUAAUUGUUAUCUUAAUAUGAUUAGAAUUUAUCUCUAAAUAGCUUUCCAAUUUAAAAGCGAGAUUAAUCUUAAUCCAAUUAGAUAACAUAAUAUCCGUCGGAUCGAGCCCGAUUAUGGGCGCACCUGAUUCAAUUUAACCGAAUGCCAACAGUAUAGAAAGAAUCAAAAGGCUAGCAUACAUUAUGUGCGGAUAUUGCGCUAGACUAUGCUUAGGUAAUAUCAACGAGACAAUAUCGAGCAUUGAGCAUGUUAUGAUGAACUAUUCUGGAGCGAUACACAUUAAAUAUGGGAGUGGAAAGUACGAUUUGGAGAUGGUACUGGAUCGAGGUACUAUAUGUGGUAUUGAUGGCGUAUCAGUGAGUCGAUUACUCAAAUUGUGUAGUUAGAGUUUGUGGCCCUGAAAAUCCCAAGUUAUACUGUAUAUGGUACUGAUAUGGAUCGAGAUUGUGUUUUGGAUUGUGAAGUCGAUCGGUUAAGUCGAUGAGUCUUUUUCUAGGGCAUAAGGAAUGCCAAGGUGCCAGUUAUUGAAAAUGGAGCAUAGUCAUGAACUUUUUGGUAUAGUUUGAUAUAAAGCAUUAAUUAAUUGCUGGUUGGUAACUCCUUAAAAUUGUAUUUUUACUUAUUUAGGACUUAUUUUCUAGUAUUUUGCAAGUAGGAUUAAAUAGUAUAGUACACUCAGAUUGGACUAUGGGAUAAAACAACACAGGUAUAGGCAGCUUGCAUUUUAGCUAUAUAUAACUGUUCAUAUUGCACUAACUUAUAUUAUUGAGUAUAUAUGAUUAAAUAUUCUGUGUGCAUGCAGCUCUGAUUUACCCCCCGUUUUUUAUUUUUUUUUAUUUUUUGAGAGAUAGAUAGCACGCUACCCGCUUCGUUUAUUUCAUUUAGAAAUAAAUUUAGCUAGAAAUGUGAAUCAACUAGGAUUCGAAUUUGGGUCUCGGAUACCAAGCAUCAAGCCCGUUGCCACCUGCUUCGUUUUUUUUAUUUACUCCCAGACUUAGUAGAUAUAGAUGUAGGUUUUUCUUAAACCAUACAACUUUAUAGGAUUUAAAUUUUAAAAAAUUAUAUUUGAAUCGUAUAGAGAUUUGGUGACGCCUACUCAAAAUAGGAGGUGGUUCAGAUCGUCACAUAUAGGAGGAAUCCUACACUAUCACACUUACACCACAUCAUCAAUAACAAGCCAAUCAUCUUUUUUCUUUUCAAACAAAAGUACAAUAAAAAUACUUUUUUAUAAUCAUGAUGGGACAUAUAUCUUUAAAAGGAAAUUUUUGAUUGGUUUGUUACGCCAUGUGACCAAUAUACCCGUUGCAUUCUAAAAUUUUUCCACAUAUAGGGAGAUUUGCUUUUAUAUAUAUAUAUAUAUAUAUAUAUAUAUAGGAGUUGUGCUGGUAUGCUUAUGGAAGCACAGAGGUCUCCGUGUUUCCAAGUUGUUUUCGAUGUUCGGACUUUCAAAUCGACAAUCGGCUUCAUUAGAGUUGAUCUAGAGUAUUUGAAGUAUCUAGAAAAUAAAUUUUGCGAUUUUUCGAUAUCAUUUGCCUAGUGAUUAAAGGGGCUCGAAAUCAAUAAUUUUAAUGUCCAUGGUGAGCCGGUUGUAAGUUUAACGGUGUAGAAAUAUUCAAAUCACGUGAAAUUUUGAUAGAAAAUUUUUUGUACUAUAUAAAAUAAGAUCAAUAUCUUUGAUCUAAAUUUUUAAUGUCAUAUCAUCACAUUUUGUAAGAUUUUUAUUUUCAGCCGUUGAUUUUGAGCCCCUUCGAUCACUAGGCAAAUGAUAUCGAAAAAUCACAAAAUUUAUUUUCUAGAUACUUCAAAUACUCUAGAUCAAGUCUAACGGAGCCGAUCGUCGAUUCGAAAGUCCCAACAUCAAAAACAAAUUAGAAGCACGGAGGCCUCCGUGCUUCCAUAAGCAUACUAGCCGCACUCUAGAUAUAGAUAGUCUUUACUACUAAUCAAAAUUUUUAAAUUUACCUUUUAUUUUGCAAAAUACCUUUCUAAACCCAAAUCACAUUCCUAAACCUUAAUUAGGAGUAGGGGUAUAUUUGGAGAAAUUCUCUAUAAUUCAUCAACAAGCACAUUUUGAUCAACCUAUAUAUUGUAUAUUAAAUAUUUUGAAAGUUUUGAAGGACAUGUUAGAUAUUAUCCAAUUUAUACAAUAAUUAAUUAAACAAUGAAAUCCUAGCUUUUUUAAAAGGAUAAUAAUCGAGUUGUUUUAUUAUAUAUUCUUCAUGUCAAAUUAAGUCAAUUAAAAAUAGCACUUCAUCAUCUUUGUUGUCUCGUACCAUGGCUUACAUGAUUUAAAUAUAGAUUUUGGAGACCAAAAUGUUUUCCAAAAGAGAUAUGCAAGUUCUUUACAUAGGAUUAAGAAAUACUUGCAUAAAUUUAGAGGCAAUGUUGGUUAUUUAUUAUGUGGACUAUAUAUAUUAGGUGUUAUUUCCAUUUGAUUUUACAAAUAAAAGCAAUAACGUACGUAGAAGUUCAGGACCUCAAAUAUAAUUAAUCCUUUCCACUGUCAACUUUUCUUUAAUCUCAGCACAUCCAUUAGGCUUUGUUAUUAAAAAAGUAAAAAUCUGAUACGACUGUGAAAUUCCGAUAAUCCUACAUUCGAUGGAAACAGAAUUAUAAUUAAAUAUAUAAGAGAUUAUAUAUUCUAAUAAUAAUAACUGAAUUUAAUAAUUUUGUGAUAGUUUAGGCCCAAUAAAGUCUUAUUAUUGUUACUAGUGAGCCGGAUUAAUGCUACGUCGACAUGCUGAAUAGAGAAUACAAUUGGUGGUAUAGCACUAUAUGCUAUUGGAAGUAUUUAAAAUUAAAAAUAAAAAUUUUAUUAAAAAAAUAAUAAAAGACUUAAAUUUCAAAUUGAAGGUACUUUCUGGCUCUAAAUAGUAAAAAGACUGUUUUACACAGUUAAAUUUACAACUACAUCACAUCGGUCAUUAAAAUUGUAUUGAGAAAUUUUUAUUAGGAGUCUAUUGAUUUAUAUAUAUAUAUAUAUAUAUAUAUAUAUAUAUAUAUAUAUAUAUAUAUAUAUAUAUAUAUAUAUAUAUAUAUNAAUAAUAUAUAUUCAAUCGUGCCAAUUUGGAUGUACUAUUAUUAAAAAUAACUUAAUAGUAUGAAAGAUAUACUACUGAUAGUAUGCAAAUCUGACUUGUCUACCGAAAAUAACUUUUCUUUUUUUUUUGAGAGAAAGGUAACAUGUUACUUGCUUCAUUCAUUGGAAGGAUGAACAAAUUAGCUACAGGGGUGAGGCAACUUAGACCUCGAAGAGCAUGCCAUUAAAAAAAUAAAAAAAUAAAAAAAAAAAAAACACUAACUACUGCUUCUGAGAUGAGAUAUGUUGCUCUCACAGGUUCAACAGCUGUUUAAUCCUGUAAACUGCACGUGUAGGGUCCGGCUAAACCUGACGAAAGAUAGCCUCGUUCCGGAUCAUCCAAAUAACCCACCAGCAGGCUAUAAGACCAGUCAGUCUGGUACGCAAAGUCUGGGGGCUACUUCUGGCAAUCCACCUAUCACAUACUAAAAUAACUUGAUUGUACCAAACGUAUACUACCGUCAGUAUACAAGCUUGCAGACUCACAACCUAUAACAAAUGAGUUAGCCAGUUAGGUGGGCUUGGAAGGUUAGGGUUUUUUUUUUUUUUUUUGGAAAAACUUCAAAUACACCCCUUUGGUUUCGCAGUUUCUCACUUUAGUACCCUAUGGUUUAAAAUGUAUCAAAUUAGUAUCAUGUGGUUUUGCACUUUCUCACUUUAGUAUCUUAUACUGUAAAAUGUAUCAAGUUAAUACUCUGUGGUUUCAUUUUUGUAUCAAAUUAGUAUCCUGUGGUUUUAUUUUUUUUUUUUUAUUAUUCAUUUCGAGGUAUGUUUUUCGUUGAAUCAGUGAUAAAGUUAAAACUAAAGGAUACUAAAAUAAAUAUUCGAUAAACCUAGGUAGAGUAUCUGAAGUUUUUUUGUAUAUAAUUUAAUGAAAUAUUAAACCAUAGGAUACUAAAUUGAGAAAGUGCGAAACCAUAGGGUACUAACUUUAUACACUUUAAAUCACAGGAUACUAAAGUGAGAAAGUGCGAAACCAAAGGAUACUAACUUGAUACAAUUUAAAUCAAAGGGUACUAAAAUGAAAAAAUGUAAAAUCACAGGUGAGGAUUUUAGAGGAACUAAUAACACAGUUAUGUUUUGGUUCGAGUACGAAUAUAUCAAACUUUUUAGUUUUGAGUUCGAAAUCACUAUAAUAGAAUUAGGUUGUAAAGACAUAUUUUUGAUACACUUUUAUAUAAUUGUUUUAUUUAUACUAAAUUUUUUUUAAAAAAUUUACUAAGUCCUAAAUAUAAAACACAAUCUAAUUAAAAAUAAAAGUUCCUCUACUCAACCAAUCCCAUCCAAUCCACUCGGCCCGAUUACAAAUAAAAAAGAAAAAAAAAAGAAAAAUUGAUCACCAUCUUUCCUUCUCCUUUUCCGCCGCUACAGCCGACGAAAUAGGGUUUCGGCGGCUGGAGUUCGGCCGCGAGGGUUUUGUAGGGAUCGUAGAGAUUAUGAUCACCACGUGUUCCUCCACCACAGCUCACUAGAGAAGUGGAUGCCAAACAUCAAGGUGGCCCUACAUAUAGCAACCCUAUAUAUAGCAACACUUUUAAAAGUGUCGGUAAUUUAACCAGCAGCACUUUUUAUGAUCGGUACGUAACGAUAUUUAAAAGUGUCAUUAUACACUGUUUUUAUUAUAGUGAAUUAGCUUCAUUUAACUCUAAUUAUUAUGGUGUUGGGUUUCAUUUGAAGAAGUUUGUUCCUGGAUUGGGAUUUGAGAAACCGCGUUUUCCAUUUUCCCCCCAAUUAAUGUAUGAAAAUGAAAUGGCCUGUGUUAUUUCUCAUUCAACGCUGCACAUUCAUGUCUGGAGCCGAUGACAUUGAUUUUAAUAAUAAUAAAAAAUAGAAAAAAAAAAAGAGGAAACCAAUUAUACUAAGAGCCUAAUAUCAUUCGAAUUUCUAUAAAAUAACUAUUAUUCUCUAACAUAUAUUUUUAAAUUUAUUUUCACUACAAUAAAAUUAAGUUAUAGAAACAUAUUUUUAGGACACUUUUAUAUAAAUGUUGCAUUUAUAUCAAAUUUUUUUUAAAAAAAUUAUUAAGACCUAAAUAUAAAACACAAUCGAAUAAAAAACAAAAAGUUUCUCUAGUUAACCAACCACGCCUAGUCCACUCGGCCCGAUUACAAAUAAAAAAGAAAAAAAAAAUAAUCACCAUCUCCCCUUCUCCUCUUCCGCAGCUGCAGCCGAUAUCGGUAGAAAAAGUAAAGUGAUUUUUCAGCAACAUUUAUUUCAUUUAAAAACAAAGAUUAUAAAAAACUAUUUUAUAAUGUUUUUCUUAUAGAUAUAUUAUUUUAUUUACAUGUACUAAUUAUUAUCCUACAUUUGUUGUUACUAUAAUUUAUAUUUGUGAAUUAAUUAAAUGCAUUCAAGAUAAGUAUGUAUUAUAAUAUGUAGAGUGGUACAUAUUCAUUACUAUAUAUAUAUAUAUAUAUAAUAUUUUAAUAUAUUUUAAUAUAGCCCGUAAGGUAUACAUCCAAAGUUUUCAUUUUUUUCCGUCGGAAAAUAAUGGAAAAGAAAAACUUGCGUUUCUCUUGCAAAUUCGUAAAAAUAGUGUUACAAAUAAUUUAUUUUAUAUGGAAUCAAACAAGUGGAAAAAUAUUUUCAUACAUCAAAAAAAAUUUUAAUUUAGAACUUCUACUAAUGUUGUAAAGAAAAUUUGUUGGAAUAAAUAAUUAGCAUGACAAUGAGUAAGGUCACUAUACUAUUAUACUGUUAUUAGUAUAGAAACUUUUGUGCUCACGAUAAAGAAUAAGACUUGUGUCAAAAAAUUACGUACAGUCACUACAAGAAAAGGCGAUGAGAGAGGCGAUUUUUAGUUGUUGUAGAGGCGGUUUAAACCGCAUCUAUGAUUUGUAGAGGCGGUUUCUGCAAUCGCCUCUAGACUGCCGGCGUAGACAGCGCCUCUAUAAUGUAGAGGCAGUUUGAGCGACCGCUGGGGGAGCUUAUAGACGAUUCUACAGAGGCGGUUUAGACCACCUCUACAAAUUUAUUUAUUUUAUUUAAUAAUUUUUAUUUAUUUAGCAAUAAUAUAAAGACGGUUUAAACCGCCGCUACAAAUAUUAUUCUGUAAAGGUGGUUUCAACCGCCUCUAUAGGUAAAAAGCAUGUUAUUAUAUAGAGGCGGUUCAAACCGCCUCUACAUGAAAAAUAUCAUAACAAUUUUAUUAAAAUAAUUAAUUUAGAUUACAUUUUAUGAGCAAAAAAUUAAAAGUUUAUUAAAAACAUAUAGUAGCAAUACAAAAAAGGGAAAACUUCAAAAAUUCCCCUGUGGUUUCGUAGUUUCUCACUUUGCCCCCCUGUGGUUUAAAAUGUAUCAAUUUGCCUUCCUGUGAUUUUGUUUUUAUUUUUUCGGUAGUUUUUUCGUUAAUAUUUCAUUAAAUUAUAUACAAAAAAUUUCAGAUAUCUAUCUAGAUUUAUCAAAUACUCACUUUAGUACCCUUUAAUUUUAACUUUAUCACUAAUUUAAAAAAAAAAUUGAUUAAAAAAAGAGAAAAAAGAAACCACAGGGAGGCAAAGUGAGAAACUACGAAACCACAGGAUAGAUUUUUAAAGUUUUCCCUACAAAAAAUAACACAAUUCUCAACGAGAAACAAUACAAUUUUUUAACAUUAUUAAAAAUUUUAUUAUUCAACAUAAUAUGUAAACCAAAUACAUAAUCUCAUCCAACGUCUAUACAUUUGAAUUUUCAAUAGUCUGUAAAAUUUAAACAGUUCUGCAAUAUUCUUCCGUUGUAAGCUCAUGACUUGCAUUCGAGAAGUGAUUGUUUGGAGAUGAGUCAUUCAGAUUAUUACCACGCGCAACUUGAAAAGUAUUGAGGAAUAUAAAAUUCAAUUACUGCAAAGGCACCAAUAAAUAUCAUAUUGCACCAAUUAACAAAAAUACUAAUAAUUUAGAAAAUUGACAACUAAUUUGAAAAAGUUAUUUCUUUGAAGAAAAAAUUGAAACUCUUUCAAUCAACAGAUUAAACAAAAUCAAUAAUUAGCAAAUUAGUCAAAAAGCUUCUAUAAUUAGAAUCAAAGAAGCAUGCUCAAGCUGUAACUAAAUCCCAGAAGUUUUACUCAAUAGUUUUAAUGGAUAAAUCAAAAUCCUCAACAAGAUCCUUUCACAUAGAGGUCCCAAUUAGUUAAUAUGUAUAGGAUAAUCAAAUAGUUUCUGAAAACAAUACAGAAAAAGGACUAUGACUAAAACGUAAAACUAUAAACAUACUGACCCUGUAGAAAGUGAAGCUAUAUCAAAUGCUCCACAUCUUAUACUAUUUCAAAUGCCCACAUCAUAUGUAACUAUAUAAAUUCGAUUAAGUGAGUAUAAAAUGGAUAGUCAAAAUAAUCUCUUAAAAGUAGAAAAUAAGACUUUUAAAGUCAAGAUUAGAGUUAUUAUUCUCGAUCUCUAUAGUAAAUAGAAUUUUUUUAUUAAAAGUUCAACUGAUUCUGAUAUUUCUACACUGUUAACUCAGAAAUGCUUCAUAUCGGCCAUUAAAGAUGCCGAUUUUGAGGCCCUUUGAUCGUAAGAUAUAUUAUGUCAAAAAAUUAUAAAAUUUAAUUUUUUUAGAAUAUUUAAAUAUGCUAAAUUAUAUAAUGAUAUGGAUCGACAAUAUAAAAUUUAUAUUAUGAAAAGUAAUUUAUAAGUACAAAAAUGAUUGUACUUAUAAUAGUAUAGAAAACAGGUUUUUCCAUAACAAGUUACUUGAUCUACAAGUGAACUCCCAAUAAUGUUUUUAUCAAACAGUAGUAUAUCUAUGGACAUACUCUUAUAUGUCACAUUAUAGCAAUUAAUGUCCGAUCCACAGUAAAACGACCGUACUGUAGAGGUUAUAUUAUAUAUAUAUAUAUAUAUAUAUGUAUAUAUAUAUAUAUAUAUAUGUAUAUAAUAUAUAUAUAUAUAUAUGUAUAUUAUAUAUAUAACACACACACAAAAAAUCAAAAUACAGAAAGUUUGCAUUUUAGAGUUUUUUUUUCUCUAACAUGAUAAAAUAAUGGUAAAUCGGAUCAACAAGAAUGUUUUUUUUUGGGGGGGGGGGGGGGAAUUACUUAUAUAUAUAUCUUUAAAAAUUUUCGACUUUCUAAUUUAUUUUUUAAAAUCUAAUAUUAAAAAUAUUUUUUUACGUUCCAAUCUAUUUCUAAUAUAUAUUAUAUAUUAUAUAAGAGUUGAGACUGGGCUACUAUUAGUGUAAAAUUUCAUUUUGCUAUCAGUUUUUUAACCUUUGGAUCAACUCUUUUCGUCAUUUCUAACCAUUGGAUUAAAUACUAUAACCCAGUGGGGACCACAUCAACCCUAGGGGGACCACUAAACUCUAACUGAUAAUAUCAUCCUAACCUACAAUUUUUCAUCCAAGGAUUAAAAACUUGAUAGCAAAAAGAGAGUUUUACUAUUAAUAGUAUUCCAGUCUAAUUCUAUAUAUAUAUUAUAUAAUAUAUAUAUAUAUAUAUAUAUAUAUAUAUAUAUAUAUAUAUAUUUUGAGAGAUAGGUAGCAUGCUACCCGCUUCGUUUAUUUCAUUUAGAAAUAAACUUAGCUAGAAUAUAUCCCUAGAGUUAAAAUCUAUUAAUAAACUCUGUUAUUUCUAUGAAAUUACUAUUUUGUCCUUUCAAUUAUACUUUUCUAUCAUCACCGACUUUUUUUUAUUUCUUCUUAAGUUAGUGACACAAAAAGUAUUUUAUUUUUUAAUCUUUUCAAAUAUAUUUUUCUACCAUCACCAACAUUUUUUAUUUGCCCUUAAGUUAAGGACAAAUGUGGUAUUUUAUUUUUUUUAGCUAUGGUAGAUAUUUAAUUUGCGUUUAACUCAAGUUAACUUAACGGGUGGUAACUAUAGGGAUAUUUUGAAAUAACGGAAUAUAUGAGGAUAUAUUGGAAAGAAAAAAAAUUAGGGGUAAAUGAGAUAUUUUCGAAGUUUUGAGGGGUAUAUAGAUAAUUAUCCUUUUUUUUUUGUGGCAUUGCACUUCAAAUAAUCCCAGAGAUAGAAACGUACAAAAUUUUUCGGAACUAUAAAUUAUUUUGAUUCUUUUAAAAUUUUGAUUUUACUAUCCAACAUUUUAACUUGUUUGAUAUGAGCCAGUCAACAAUACUUUAAUUUUAAAACUUAAAUACGGUUGUUUAUCUUAAUAGGUUUUCUUAGUAUUCUAAACGCAAUUCUCGCCGCUAGAAAUUUAUUUAUAUAAAUAGUUAGUAUAGAUUUUGAUGUUAAGCAAAUUAAAAUGUUGGAUAUAUAUGGCCAAUUUGCAUAAAACAUCCAUAAUUUUUAAGCUUUUGCAAAACUGGACCGCCUUUUUUGAUUUUACAGAUUCGGUCCGAAUUUUCAGCAAACUGACCAAAAUACCUUUAUUAUUUUUUCUCUCUCCUCUUUCUCUCUCAUUUUUUUUUUCUCUCGUUUAUUUUUUUUUUUUUCUCUCGCCGAAGAAAGUAGCGAAGGCGGAGGCGCCUCUCACCCUCAUGCUCUCGCCCUUGCCCUCACCCGCGCACCCCCCACCUUCCUCACCUUCGACCCCGCCGAGGCCAAACCACGACUCUUUUUUUUUUUUUUUUCCUCUCCGACUCUCUUCCAUCGCCUCCGACGACGAUGUCUCUCUCGCCCUUCCCGGCCCUUCUUGUCCUCUUCCUCUCUCUCCUCCUCUGCCGCCUCCGACGACGACGCAUCUUUGCCGACGCCGACGCCGACAUGGUGGAGGUCGCUGUGGCGCUGCAACCUCGGAGCGGGGGGUCCUUAGCGGCGGCAUCGCCGGCACCGUGGCCGUUGGUAGAGAGGGAUGACCAAAAAAAAUUAUAGAGGAACUAAAAAAAAAAUAAAGAUAAAGAAUUAUAGAAAAAGAAAGAUGAAGGCGAAAUUGCACCGUUAAAAAAAUGUUGCACUAUUAUGGACAUAAGUUGCACUACUUAAGAUGUAAACUGCAGUUUUAAAAUAAAAAUUACACUCUUUAAACAAAAAAUACACUCUUUGAUAGAUAUUUACAGUGUUUCUCCUCUUAUUGCACUCUUUCAGAUGUAAACUGCAUCUAUUAAGAUAAAAGUUAUACUUUUUAAACGAAAGUUGCACUAUUUGAGAGAUAUUUAUACUAUUUUUUCUCUUCAUGCACUCUUUGAGAUAUAAACUAUACCCAUUUAAGAGAUAUUUAUACUGUUUCUCCUUUUGUUGCACUGUUUUUUCUUUUAUUGUACUAUUUCUUCUCUUAUUAUACUGUUUCUCCUCUUAAAGGGUACAGUUUAAGAUAAGAAACAGUGUAACAAGAGGAAAAAUAGUGCAACAUGAGGAGAAACAGUGUAAUAAGAGGAGAAACAAUAUAAAUAUCUCUUAAAUGGAUGUAGUUUAAAUCUCAAAGAGUGCAACAAGAUGCGAAACAAUGUAAAUACCUAUCAAAGAGUGCAACUUUCGUUUAAAGAAUGUAAUUUUCAUCUUAAUUGAUGCAGUUUACAUCUAAAAGAGUGCAAUAAGAGGAGAAACAGUUUAAAUAUCUUUCAAAAAAUAUAAUUUUCGUUUAAAGAGUAUAAUUUUCAUCUUAAAACUGCAGUUUACAUCUUAAAUAGUGCAACUUAUAUCCAUAAUAGUGUAACGUUCUUUUAAAAUAGUACAAUUUAUUUUAAAGGUGUAAUAUCAUCUUCAUCUUUAUUUUUCUAUAAUUUUUUAUCUUUAUUUUUUUUAUUUUUUUUAUUAUUUUUUUUUGUUAUCUCUCUCUUCCAACAGCCACGACGCCAGCGACGACGCCACUAAGAACCCCUCGUUCUAAGGUUGCAGUGCUACAACAAUCUCCACAGUACCGGCGUGACGAAAAUGCGUCGUUGUUGGAGGCGGAAGAAGAGUUGGGAGAGGCAGAGGACGAGAAUGGCGGGGAAGGGUGAGCGAGACGUUGUCGGAGAUGGUAGAGGAGAGUCGAAGAGGAAAAAAAAUAGAGUCGCGGUGCGGCCUCGGCCGGGUCGGAGGUGAGGAAGGUGGGGAGUGCGCGGGCGAGGGCGAGGGCGAGGGCGAGGGCGAGGGCGAGAGGGUGAGAGGCGAGGCGGACCGUUUUCGCUUCUGCCUCUGCCUCCACCGUCUCUUUGGCGAGAGAAAAAAAAAUGAACGAGAGAAAAAAAAUGGAGAGAGAAAGAGGAGAGAGAAAGAGGAGAGAGAAAAAGUAAUAAGGAUAUUUUGGUCAGUUUGCUGAAAAUCCGGUCCGAAUCUGCAAAAUCGAAAAAAAAUGGCCCACUUUUGCAAAAGCCCAAAACUAGUGGAAUUUUUAUGCAAAUUGGCCGAUAUAUAUAGUGAAACCUAAAUAAUUCAUAAUUCAGAUAAGUUUUAUGCAUUUUUAAUUUUUACUUAACUUUAUAAAAGCUAAAUUACAUAAACCCUCAUGUCAAAAUUUGAUUUUUCACUUUUCUUUCCUGUCAUUUAAAAAUCUACACUUUAUCCUCUUAUAAAGUAAAAAAUGAUCACAGAGUAUGGUGUAAAUUGUGAUGACAAAAUAACCAUUUUGCCUCUCAUAAUUUUUGGCAACAGGAGAGAAGGUUGAAAGUAUUUUUUGCAUAAAAAAAUAUAUAAUGACAUUUUAUAAACGGAAUCCUAACGGAUCACUAACGGCACAGGGUGAAGUGAACAAUUUUUAUUUUACAAGAAAAAAAGUAUAGAUUUUUAAAUAACAGAGGAGGAAGGCGAAAAAUUAAAUUUUGACAGAAAGAUUCUCUAUAAUUUAACCUUUUACAAAAGAUAUUUCAUAAAUCUUUAAUUUUUUUUUUUUUUUUAUCUUCUUUAACUAAUAUGAAAUAUCAAGACGAAUGAACUUCAGACUAUCGAAUCAAAAAAUUAAACGAGAAACAGCCCACGCCGACAAGGAGAAAGAGGAGAGCUGUCGCCAUUACGAACUACAGUGCGAGUCCGCAGUCCGCAAAGACGGGCGGAGGGAACUCUAUCCGGACGGCGAGAGGGGCCCACCGGGGGGACAGAGAGGACGUUGACCUGGCGGUGAGGGCUGCCAGCACAUGCCACGUCCACCCACUCCCCGGCCGACACCAACUCCGCCAACCCACUCUCUCCUUCCAAUGACAGCUGGCACUCCUACCAUGAGGGACACACCCCCUUGUACUACUAUAAUUGCUCCUUGUCUUUAUAUAAAAAAAAAAAAUGUGGAUAAAUUUUAAAUACCAUCACAUAGUUUCAUAAUUUUUUAUUUUAAUAUUCUAUAAUUUAAAAUAUAUUAAUUUAAUAUUUUAUGAUUUUAUUUUUUUACUUUCGUCAUCUCUCUGUUUAUUUUUUGUUAAAUGUAUUCUUUAAAUUACAGGGUACUAAAGUCAGAAAGUAUGAAACCAAUUGGAUGGUAUUUGAAUUUUUUUCAAUAUAUAUAUAUAUAUUAUAUAAUAUACAAGAUCGCUGCUAUGCUAUUAAUAGAUUAAGCCUUUGUGCUACGGAAGUUUUCCGCCGUUUUAAAUCUAUUUUUUCAAUUUUUCACAGGUUACGAUCAUAUUAUUCAACCAAGCCCCUCGACUCAACCAGGGCUCAACAUAUCUAACCGUACAUCUCUUAUCGCAAUGGAUCAAACAUUAGUAGCACCAUGAUGGUGCUAUAAUAAGUAUAUUAUCCUAGUUUAUAUAUAAUAUUAUAUAUAUAUAUAUAUAAUAUAUAUUAUAUAUAUAUUAUAUUAUAAUAAAGGCUAGGGCUACUAUACUCUUAUGAGUAUAGGCUCCCUUGUACUCAUAAAUUUUUAACCGUUGAUUGAUGGGAUGUGUGGUUAGGAUGAUGAUAGUCCCCACUUAAAAUGAUAGUGGUCCCCCAGGGUUGAGUGGGUAGUUGGUUGAAUAGUAUGAUCUAACGGAUGGAAAUGAUCAGUGGAAUAAAUUUAAGGGCCAAAAACUUAUGAGUAUAAAGGAGUCAAUACUUAUAAAAGUAUAAUAGCCGGACUCUAUAUAUAUAUAUACACACACAGAACUUAUCUAAACUAUAUAUUAUUUUUAAUCGACUAUCUAAUUUUUCAAUUAGUUUGAUUCGAGUCAGUCGACAAUACUUUGACAAAAAUUGUAUGAAGUAUGCUAAUUAAAUCUGUAAAAAAAAUUUGAUGCAUUCAAAUUCUAAAGUUAGAGUAUUAUCGACCAACUAAAAUCAAAUAAAUUAAAAUUGAAAUUGAACUUAUGAAAGGUUGGAUAGCAGAUACAAAAUAAUUCAUAGUUCAGGUGUAAGUUUUUUAAGUCUUUACCCUGUAUAUAUUUAUCCCAAUACAAUUUUAUAUUAUAUGGAAUAAUUGUAGAGUAUGGAUCAAAUUAUAUGUGUAAAUUACACAAAUUUCUACACUAGUAUAAUUCAAAUCCAGAGGAUUUAAAAUUAAGAUCUAAACCAUUAAAUAUGAUCAAGAAUAUUUAAAAUAUACAUAGAUGUAAAGUUUAAUAUAUUUUGAAAAUCAAUUUUUUAUUCAUCAGGCAUUAAAAUCAAUGAUCCGGAUUGAAAUUUCAAGGUAUAGGUUUUCAAAAAUUAUAAUUUUUGUUAUAGGUCUUCUUUAUGUUGUAAAUCAUUUUUGGCUGUUCAGAUCUUUAUUUUGAAACUUUUAUGAUUGAAAUUUAGCUAGUGUAUUUAUUGUGUAACUUGAAAUGUAAUGUGAACCAUAUAUAUAUAGGCUGGCAUAUGAGCGAGCCAGCUCGUGUUCGACUCGUGUUCGGCUUGAUAUUUGGCUCGCUCGAGCUCGGCUCGAAUUAAUUUCAAGCAAGCUUGAGCCUAAAUUUAGGCUCGAAAUUAAUUUCAAGCCGAGCUUGAGUAUUACUCGGCUCGCUCGAAUUAAGCUCGAAAAGCUCGAAAUAUAUAUAUAGUAUAGUAGCCUAAUUNCUAGAAGUUUUAAAUGCUGUAAAUAACGUUUAACGGUGUAGAUCGUCGAUUCGGAAGCUCUAUCAUCGAAAACAACUUAUGAGUACGAGGGCGAUCGUACUCAUAAUAGUAUAGUAGCCUGACCCUCUCUCUCUCUCUCUCUCUAUAUAUAUAUAUAUAUAGAGUUGAGCUGGAAUGCUAUCGGUAGCAAACGGGCUCCGUUGCCACCCAUUUGUUUUCGAUGAUGGAGCUUUCAAAUCGACAAUUGGCACCGUUGAACAUGAUUUAUAUUACUUGAAGUAUCAGAAAUCAAAUUUUAAAUCUUUUUGACAUCAUUUACCUAAUGAUCAAAGAGUUUCAAAAUUUAUAAUUUUAAUGGUUGAAAUGAGGGGUUUUUUCGUUUAACGGUGUAAAGCUAUCCAAAUCAAUUAAAUUUUGGUUAGAAAAUUCUAUAAACUAUUUCGAACAAGAUCUAUACUCUCGAUCAUAAUUACAAAAUUUCUAUCAUCACUUUUUAGAGGAUAUUCACUUUCAACUAUUUAUUUUUACGCCCACUUGAUGGACAAGAAAAUAAUAUCGAAAAAGUAUAAAAUUUGAUUUCUAGAUACUUCAAGUGGUAUAGAUCAUUUUCAACGGUGCCGAUCGUCGAUUUGGAGGUUUCAUCAUAAAAAAUAAAUGGGUGGCAACGGAGCCUGUUUGCUACCGAUAGUAUUCCAGCCGAACUAUAUAUAUAUAUAUAUAUAUAGUCUAUUAUACUAUUAAUAGUACCAACUACUUGCUAUUAGGUUUUCGGCCUUUGGAUGAAGGGAUGUGCGGUUAGAAUGAUAGUGAUCCCUUAGGGUUGAGUGGGUGGUUAGUUGAAUAAUAUGAUCUAACGGGUGAAAAUGGUCAAAAAGGUAGAUCUAACGGCACACAAUUCGAUAGCACCAAGCAUUUGGUACUAUAUAUUGAUAAUAUAGUAGCCGGACUCUAUCUCUCUCUCUCUCUUUCUCUAUAUAUAUAUAUAGUCCGGCUACUAUACUAUCUAUACUAUUGAUAGUACUAAGCGCUUUGUACUAUUAAGUUUUCUGCCGUUAGAUUUGCCUAUAUAUGUACAGAGUUCGGCUAUUAUACUAUCGAUAGUACCAAGCAUUUGGUGCUAUCGAGUUUUCUGCUGUUAGAUAUUUACCUUUGGCCAUUUUCAUCUGUUAGAUCAUACUAUUCAACUAGUCACCCACUCAACCCUAGGGGGCUACUAUCGUCCUUACCGCACAUCCCUUAAUCCAAAGGCUGAAAACCUAAUAGCAAGCGAUUUGUAUUAUUAAUAGUAUAAUUGCCUAAUUCUAUAUAUAUAGGCUCGGGUUACUAUACUCUUAUAAGUAUAGACUUUUUUAUACUUAUAAAUUUUCAACCGUUGGAUGUGCGAUUAGAAUGAUAGUGGUCCCCUAAGAUUGAAUGGGUGGUUCGUUGAAUAGUAUGAUUUAGCGGAUGAAAAUAGUCAAAAGGAUAUAAAUCUAACGGUCGAAAACUUAUGAGUAUAAAGGGGUUUAUAUUCAUAAAAGUAUAUAUAGUAGCCGAACUCUCUCUCUCUCUCUCUCUCUCUCUCUCUCUCUAUAUAUAUAUAUAUAUAUAUAUAUAUAAUAUAUAUUUUAAUUAUAUAAAAUAAUAUAUAUUAUGUAUUUUAAUUAUGUGUAUAUAGAAUUUAGAUUAUUGGGCCCACAAAACCAAANNNNNNNNNNNNNNNNNNNNNNNNNNNNNNNNNNNNNNNNNNNNNNNNNNNNNNNNNNNNNNNNNNNNNNNNNNNNNNNNNNNNNNNNNNNNNNNNNNNNNNNNNNNNNNNNNNNNNNNNNNNNNNNNNNNNNNNNNNNNNNNNNNNNNNNNNNNNNNNNNNNNNNNNNNNNNNNNNNNNNNNNNNNNNNNNNNNNNNNNNNNNNNNNNNNNNNNNNNNNNNNNNNNNNNNNNNNNNNNNNNNNNNNNNNNNNNNNNNNNNNNNNNNNNNNNNNNNNNNNNNNNNNNNNNNNNNNNNNNNNNNNNNNNNNNNNNNNNNNNNNNNNNNNNNNNNNNNNNNNNNNNNNNNNNNNNNNNNNNNNNNNNNNNNNNNNNNNNNNNNNNNNNNNNNNNNNNNNNNNNNNNNNNNNNNNNNNNNNNNNNNNNNNNNNNNNNNNNNNNNNNNNNNNNNNNNNNNNNNNNNNNNNNNNNNNNNNNNNNNNNNNNNNNNNNNNNNNNNNNNNNNNNNNNNNNNNNNNNNNNNNNNNNNNNNNNNNNNNNNNNNNNNNNNNNNNNNNNNNNNNNNNNNNNNNNNNNNNNNNNNNNNNNNNNNNNNNNNNNNNNNNNNNNNNNNNNNNNNNNNNNNNNNNNNNNNNNNNNNNNNNNNNNNNNNNNNNNNNNNNNNNNNNNNNNNNNNNNNNNNNNNNNNNNNNNNNNNNNNNNNNNNNNNNNNNNNNNNNNNNNNNNNNNNNNNNNNNNNNNNNNNNNNNNNNNNNNNNNNNNNNNNNNNNNNNNNNNNNNNNNNNNNNNNNNNNNNNNNNNNNNNNNNNNNNNNNNNNNNNNNNNNNNNNNNNNNNNNNNNNNNNNNNNNNNNNNNNNNNNNNNNNNNNNNNNNNNNNNNNNNNNNNNNNNNNNNNNNNNNNNNNNNNNNNNNNNNNNNNNNNNNNNNNNNNNNNNNNNNNNNNNNNNNNNNNNNNNNNNNNNNNNNNNNNNNNNNNNNNNNNNNNNNNNNNNNNNNNNNNNNNNNNNNNNNNNNNNNNNNNNNNNNNNNNNNNNNNNNNNNNNNNNNNNNNNNNNNNNNNNNNNNNNNNNNNNNNNNNNNNNNNNNNNNNNNNNNNNNNNNNNNNNNNNNNNNNNNNNNNNNNNNNNNNNNNNNNNNNNNNNNNNNNNNNNNNNNNNNNNNNNNNNNNNNNNNNNNNNNNNNNNNNNNNNNNNNNNNNNNNNNNNNNNNNNNNNNNNNNNNNNNNNNNNNNNNNNNNNNNNNNNNNNNNNNNNNNNNNNNNNNNNNNNNNNNNNNNNNNNNNNNNNNNNNNNNNNNNNNNNNNNNNNNNNNNNNNNNNNNNNNNNNNNNNNNNNNNNNNNNNNNNNNNNNNNNNNNNNNNNNNNNNNNNNNNNNNNNNNNNNNNNNNNNNNNNNNNNNNNNNNNNNNNNNNNNNNNNNNNNNNNNNNNNNNNNNNNNNNNNNNNNNNNNNNNNNNNNNNNNNNNNNNNNNNNNNNNNNNNNNNNNNNNNNNNNNNNNNNNNNNNNNNNNNNNNNNNNNNNNNNNNNNNNNNNNNNNNNNNNNNNNNNNNNNNNNNNNNNNNNNNNNNNNNNNNNNNNNNNNNNNNNNNNNNNNNNNNNNNNNNNNNNNNNNNNNNNNNNNNNNNNNNNNNNNNNNNNNNNNNNNNNNNNNNNNNNNNNNNNNNNNNNNNNNNNNNNNNNNNNNNNNNNNNNNNNNNNNNNNNNNNNNNNNNNNNNNNNNNNNNNNNNNNNNNNNNNNNNNNNNNNNNNNNNNNNNNNNNNNNNNNNNNNNNNNNNNNNNNNNNNNNNNNNNNNNNNNNNNNNNNNNNNNNNNNNNNNNNNNNNNNNNNNNNNNNNNNNNNNNNNNNNNNNNNNNNNNNNNNNNNNNNNNNNNNNNNNNNNNNNNNNNNNNNNNNNNNNNNNNNNNNNNNNNNNNNNNNNNNNNNNNNNNNUGAUGUCGCAAAGAUUUGAAAUUUGAUUUCUAAACACUUCAAGUGGUAUAGAUCAUGUUCAACGGAGCCGAUCGUCAAUUUGGAAGCUCUAUCAUCGAAAACAAAUAGGUAGUAAAACGGCUCGUUUACUACUGAUAGUAUUCUAGCAAAACUCUAUAUAUAUAUAUAUAUUGAUGUCGCAAAGAUUUGAAAUUUGAUUUCUAAACACUUCAAGUGGUAUAGAUCAUGUUCAACGGAGCCGAUCGUCAAUUUGGAAGCUCUAUCAUCGAAAACAAAUAGGUAGUAAAACGACUCGUUUACUACUGAUAGUAUUCUAGCAAAACUCUAUAUAUAUAUAUAUAUAUAUAUAAAAUUGAGCUCCUAUGUUUUUAAAAGUACCAAAUUAUUGGUGCUUGUAGAUUUUUAGCCAUUGGAUUAAGAGAUAUGCGGUUAGGAUGAUGUGGGCCCCCUAGGGUUGAGUGGGUGGUUGGUUGAAUAGUAUAAUCUAAUGGUUGAAAAUGAUCCGAGAGUAGAUCUAACGGUAAAAAACUUACAAGCACCAAAUGCUUGGUGCUUUUACAAGCACCAUAGCUAGACUAUAUAUAUAUAUAUAUAUAUAUAUAUAUAUAUAUAUAUAUAGGUUAAUUUCAUACAUGCCCCAGCAAAUAUAGUAAAUAGCAAAUAUAUCUCUAUAAAGUUCAACUUUCAUAUGUUUUUUUUUUAGAGAUAGGUAGCAUGCUACCCGCUUCGUUUAUUUCAUUAACUUUCAUAUGUUAUUCCUGCAAAAGUCCUGAUAUUUUCAAAUCUGUCUUUGCCGAUAGAAUCCAUUAGAAAAAAUUAGUUAACCAUAGUUAGUUUUUGACAUUUUUACCCCUUUAUAUUAUACUAGUGUGGCUUUCAGAGAGAUAUAUUUGUGAUGGCAAAAUUGAAAAUAUAAACAGUUCUCUAACGGUAACAAACCAAAGGGAUAUAUUUGAAAACAAUAGGGCUUUUGCAGAGACAAUAUAUGAAAGUUGAACUUUUGUAGGGAUAUACUUGUCAUUUGCUAUGUUUGCAGGGACUUGUAUGAAAUUAACCUCUCUCUCUCUCUCUCUAUAUAUAGAAUGUGUGGUUAGGAUGAUGUGGGCCUCCUAGGGUUGAGUGAGUGGUUUGUUGAACAGUAUAAUCUAACGGGUAAAAAAAAACAAAGGGUUAAAUCUAACGGUGGAAAACUCGAUAGCACCAAAUCCUUGGUGCUAUCGAUAGUAUCCCAGCAGGACUCUAUAUAUAGAACUAAGCUAUAAUACUAUUGUAACGACCCAGCCCACUAGCAACAAUAACCCAAUGACAACCCCAUUCCCAUCCGAUGUGGGACUAUUGGGGUGUCACAGACUCCCCCCGUUAAGGCCCUGACGUCCUCGUCAGUCCAAUCACACACACAGCCCAAGAUCACCAGGUGAUGUGAGACUCGUCUCGCUAGCCCGUCAUCCAGACCCUAGCUCAGCCGAAACUCGCCACACAUGUCCAGCUGGUGAACCGGCUCUGAUACCAAAUAUAACGACCCAGCCCACUAGCAACAAUAACUCGUUGGGCCCAGCCAACAGCCCAAAAUGCUUAAGCCCAGUUAUUAUUACUAGUGUCUAAGUCUCUUAUAAACCCAAUGACAACCCCAUUCCCAUCCGAUGUGGGACUAUUGGGGUGUCACAGAAUCCUGGCUCAGCCGAGACUCAUCUCACACUUCCGGCCGAGGGAUGGAGUUUGAAGUGAACUCGCGUUUUCCGCGGCCGCAUCUCUGCGGAAUCUCAGGCCCGGGGACUUUCCAGGGUACGCAUAAACCCGAUCACUUCGUCCCAUGGUUCACUUUUAUUUUACUAUUUGGAAAUCUGAGUUUUCGUUGGUUUUGGAAUAUAAUAAAGGAAUUUGUGCUUUCUUGAAAUGAAAAUGAUUUUCUACCCCUCGUGGUAGCGUUUUGGAAAGAUAAAAGUUCCUGUGUAGGGAACAGUUUUCAAAAGAUUUUCUGUGGAUUUUGUAUCUUAGUAUUUCAAAACCUGUUUAUGUGGUUGGAAACAUUUUAACUGAUAGAUGUGGAUUUAUAUUUAAAUAGCGAAUGUAAACUUGUGAAUCUGUGGUGAAUGGUGUAUGAAUAUAUAUCUGUGGUUGCUUGUAUAUUCAUCUGGUUGUGGUUGUUGUAUGAUUGAACUCUUGUACUUGUGCGACGCCGUGCAAAUACAGGGGAGACUCUGUCGGUGUGAACAGUGGGACUCCUGUAUUUGUGGCGGAUCUGGCACACUCUGGGGUUAGAUUUUCAAAAAAAAAAAAAUUUCAGACGCUUUUCCGCUACCUUUUAAACUAAAAGGGACCCCGGGGCGUGACAACUAUCAAUAGCACUAAGCUGUUGGUGCUAUUAAUUUUUUAACCCUUGUAUUGAGAAAUGUGUGGUUAGGAUAAUGUGGGCCCCCUAGGGUUGAGUGAGUGGUUGGUUGAACAGUAUAAUCUAACGGGUAAAAAUAAAUAAAGGGUUAAAUCUAACGGUGGAAAACUCGAUAGCACCAAAUCCUUGGUGCUAUCGAUAGUAUCCCAGCCGGACUCUAUAUAUAUAUAUAUAUAUAGUUGAGCUAGAAUGCUAUUGGUAGCAAACGGGUUUCGUUGCCAUCCAUUUGUUUUCGAUGAUGAAACCUUCGAAUCAACGAUCGGCACCGUUGUACAUGAUCUAUACCACUUAAAGGAUUUAGAAACCAAAUUUCAAAUCUUUUCGACAUUAUUGACCUAAUAAUCAAAGUGUUUCAAAAUUUAUAAUUUUAAUGGUAGAUAUAAGGCGUUUUCUCAUUUAGCGGUGUAAAUCUAUCUAAAUUAAUAGAAUUUUGGUUAGAAAAUUCUUUAAACUAUUUAGAACAAGAUUAUUACUCUCGAUCUUGAUUACAAAAUUUCUAUCUUCACUUUUUAGAGGAUAUUCAUUUUCAGCCAUUCAUUUUUACGUCUACUUAAUGGAUAAAAGAACAAUAUUGAAAAAAGUAUAAAAUUUGAUUUCUAAAUUCUUCAAGUAGUAUAGAUCAUAUUCAAUAGUGCCAAUCAUCAUUUUGGAGGCUCCAUUAUCGAAAACAAAUGCGUGGCAACAGAGCCCGUUUGCUACCGAUAAUAUUCCCGCUCAACUCUCUCUCUCUCUCUCUCUCUCUCUCUCUCUCUCUCUCUCUCUCUCUCUCUAUAUAUAUAUAUAUAUAUAUGAGCAUGUCUCCUGUACUUUCGAAAGUACGGAGGCCUCCGUGUUUGUAAGUUGUUUUCGAUGAUAGGACAUCCGAUUCGACGAUUGGCUCCGUUAGGUAUAAUCUACCUUAUUGGAACUAUCUAAAAACCAAAUUUUAUAAUUUUUGACAUCAUUUACCAAACGAUCAAAAGGUUUCAAAGUGAGUGUUUCAAUGGCCGAUGUGGGACGUUUUUUAGUUCAACGGUGUAGAAGUAUCCAAAUUAUAUGAAAAUUUAAUAGAAAAUUCUAUUUAAUAUCAAUAGCAAGAUCAAUACUUCCGAUUUGAAAUUUGAGUCCUUUAUCAUUAUUUUUUAUAAUUUUUCAAUUUCAGCUAUUCAUUUUGAUGCUACUCAUUCACUAGACAAACAAAGUCAAAAAAUUAUAAAAUUUGGCUUCUAAAUAGUUCAAAUAACAUAGAUUAUGUCUAAUGGAACUGAUCGCUGAAUCAGAUGUCCCAUCAUCGAAAACAACUUAUAAGCACGGAGGCCUCCGUACUUUCGAAAGCAUCGGAGCCUAUAUAUAUAUAUAUAUAUAUAUAUAUAUAUAUAUAUAUAUAUAUGGGUUAUUUGCAUACACGUCCCUGCAAAUAUAGUGAAUUGUAGAAAUAUCCCUGCAAAAUGAAAAUUCCAUAAGUUGUCCCUACAAAAGUCAUAAGUUAUGCAGAUAUGUCCCUGCUGUUAGAGUCUGUUAGAGAAAUUUGGUUAACCACAGUUAAACUACUUAACCACGAUUAGUUAAUAGUGUGCAUUUAUGGUUCUACCAUUCUUCUAAAUCAUUCUCUUCCUUUUCCCUCUUCUUCGUUGCCAGUGAAGAGAUGUGGCGGUGGCGGCUGCGACGGCGGCGAACCCUCUCCCUCUUCCUCUUCCUCUUCCGCUUCCUUUUUCCUCUUCUUCUUCCCCUUUCUUCUUUCUCUCCCUCUUCCUCUUCUCUCUUUUUCGUCGCCGGCGAGGGGGAAGAUGCGGCGGCGGCGGCGGCGAACCCUCUCCCUCUUCCUCUUUCUCUUCCUCUCCCUCUUCUUCUUCGCCCUUCUUCUUCCUCUUCCUUUUUCUCUUCCCUCUUCCUCGUCGCCCGCGAGAGAGGAGAUGCGGCGGCAGCAAACCCUCUCCUUCUUCCUCUUCCCUCUUCCUCUCCCUCUUCCUCUCCUUCUUUCUCUUCCCACUUCUUCUUUCUCUCCUUCUUUCUUUUCCCUCCUCUUCGUCGUCGGCGAACCCAACCCCGCGUCGCCGCCGUUGUCCGCUCUGACAGCCCGAAGAGGAAGAGAAAGAGAAGGGAAAAAUGAUACUUUUGGAGGGAUAUCUUUGUGAGGGCAAAACAAUCAUUUCACAAGAAAACUGUUAAAAAAUAAACAGUUCACUAACGGAUUUUAACCAGAGGGACAUAUCUGCAUAACUUACGACUUUUGCAGGGACAACUUAUGGAAUUUCUGUUUUGCAGUGAUAUUUCUACAAUUCACUAUGUUCGCAGGAACGUGUAUGCAAAUAACCAUAUAUAUAUAUAUAUAUAUAUAAUUGAGUUGGAAUACUUCUAAAAGCACAAAAAGAUUGGUGCUUCUAGAUUUGUAGCCCUUGGAUGGAGGUGUUGUAGGGUUAGGAUGAUAAUAGCCCACUUGGGUUGAGUAGUGGUCGGUGCAAGUAUUUGAUCCAAAGGCUACUGAUAGUCAAAGAAUAGAUCUAAGGACUACAAUCUUAAAAGUACCAAUGAAUUGAUGCUAUUACAUAUAUAUGAAUGAAUGUAUGUAUGUAUGUGUCCGCAAAAUGGGGCUAUUACAUAUCGACUAAAUUGCACGAUUGGUCCUCAAACUAUGAGUUGGGUGGCACUUAGGCCCUCAAACUUUAAUUUGAUUUAAUUUUUUAUUGAAUUUUUAGAAUUAUUGCAAUCGAGUCUUAUAAUUCAAUUUAGUUGACUAGAUAUUAAUGUAUUAUUAAUAUAAAAAUAAUAUAGCAAUAUUGUAACUGAUAAUGCGCAAAUAAUUAAAAUGCUAUAUAUAUCAUUUUCAAAUUAGCAAUCUAUUAAUAUUUAGUCACCUAACUUGUGUUUGGGAAUUAAAAUAUCACCCGUUUUAUAGUUUGAGAACCAAACAUGCAAUUCACCCUUAUAAAUUGAAUCCUCUAAAUUAAUUUUGAACUAUUUUUUAUAUUUUAAAAAUAAGGCUAAAUUACAGAAAACCCCUCUAUAAUAAUCCGCUUUUUCACUUUCCCCCUGACAUUUAAAAAUUUAUACUUUGCCCCCUCUGUAAAAUGAAAAAUGUUCACAGGAGGGUUACGGUGUGUAAAAUGAUCAUUUUGCCCCUCACCAUUGUCGUCUUCUUUCCCAUUUUCCUCAGCCGUCCCUUCGUUCGGCCGCGAUUCCCACCUCAAUUGGCCGCGAUUUCUCUCCAUUUCCUUCUCCUCCUGCACCCUCGCCGCCCUCGAUAUUGGCGAGAGCAGGAGAAGGGCAAAAAAGGCGAAGGCGAGGCGGCGGAGGACGGCGAAGGGGAUGUGGGUGAGGGCCAGGCAGUGGAGGACGGCGAGGCAGCUAGGCGGCGAGGGCGAGGUGGCGAGUCGGAGGGAGUUGAAGCAACAGAGAGAUAGCAGAGGGGUAUUUUCGGCAUAAAAAUAUAUUUUUUUAAAGGAACCCUGACGGAACCCUAACGGUAGGAGGUGAAGUGCACAUUUUUUAUUUUACAUGGGGGCAAAGGGUAGGUUUUUAAAUGUCAAGGAGGAAAAGUAAAAAAGCGGAUUAUUAUAAGGGAAUUUUUUGUAAUUUAGCCUUUUAUUUUCUCAAGGUCGCCCGAUCACGCUAUAACUAUGCUUUGAUUUUAUUUUUAUAUACGAUUAACCUUUUUUUUUAAUUUACUAUAAAGAACUCAUCGUGUAGUUUUACAGAAAUUCACUUUGCUAUUCUAUUAGGUAGUGUAUUUUUUUAAUAAAACAAAAAUAAACCCAUAAAAUAGUUAAGUAUAAUUAUUUGAAUCACAUGNGCAUAAUGCGGGGUGGGGAGGCGGCGGCAGCAAUGGCGGAGGGGUAUUUUCGGCAUAAAAAAUUAUUUUAUAACGGAACCCUAACGGUAGGGGGUGAAGUGCACAUUUUUCAUUUUACAGGGUAGCAAAGUGUAGGUUUUUAAAUGUUAGGGGGGGAAAGUGAAAAAGCGGGUUUUUAUAGGGGGGUUUUCUGUAAUUUAGCCUAAAAAUAAACUUUAAAACUUGCAAAAUAUCAUGAUGUUUUAGUAUAAUUUUUUUUUUUAUUAAUCGUGAUAAAUGAUUGUGACCAAUCGAUAAGACCAAACUUAAUCGUUCUUCAUAAUUAGUAAAUUAAAAUUGUUUGGUCUAAUUCGAUUCUUUUCAAAAUAUUUUUAAUUGCUAAUUCAUGAAAGUAAUAAAAUAGAUAAGAGCAAAAUAAUUUUUUCACAUAAAACAUGAUGCCUUUAAAAAUCACAAAAAAUNCUUUCUUAUUUAUCCCUAAUAUUAAAAACAACCCUUUAAUCUUUAAAGUUAUUUUAAAUAUAUCUCUAGAGUUAAAUUUUAUUUGAGAAUUUUUAGAAACAACCGUUAUCUUUUUGAAACUAUUAUUUUGGUUUUUUAAAUAUAUCUUUCUAUAAUCACCAAUUUUUUUUAUUUGAAUGUAAGUUAGGGGCAAAUGAAGUAUUUUGACUUUUCGUUUUUCAAAAAUGCCGUUCAAUCAUUACUAACUUUUCUUAUUUGAUCUUAAGGUUAGGAGCAAAAAAAAAUAUUUUGACUUUUUUUAACUCUGGUAAAAAUUUAACAUGAGUUUAAUUCGAGAUGACUUAACGAACACUAACAAUCAAAUUAUUUUUAAAAUUAAAAAAAAUAAAAUAUUUAAAAAAUUUUGAGAAAUAUAUUAGGGAUUAUCUGUAAAUAUAAUAAUGCAAUACUUGGUGUGACCACCCCUUCGUUCGUCCGCAUUGUCAAGGUCCUCCACAAACCAUGUUAAAAGCUCUUAUCAAAACCACUUAGAUGAUCCUUCAUCUGGAAGAGUCAAUGCACCCCAGGUAUUGUUUGCUUCUUAAGUAUUUUAUCGGCCCACAGAAUUCUUAUACAUACAAUAUUUUGCGUCUCAUACGAUAUUAUCUAAUCAGAAUCUUUUCUAUCGUGGGUGUUAAUACAUCAACAAAAUAUUUUUUUUACAAAGUUCAAUUUUCAUAUGUUGUUUCUCUAAAAAUUCUAAUGUUUUUAAAUAUAUCCUUCUAGUUUGUUAUUAUUAUAGAAUUAUUUAUAUUUUAAGUGAAAUAUCAAUUUUGCCAUCAUAAAUAUGUUCCUCCAAAAGCCAAUUAAACAAUAUAAUAUAAGAAGGACAAAAAUAUCGAGUUAUCUCAUAACUUAAUUAGGGUUAAGUAUUAAAUUAUGGUUAACUAAAGUUUUCUAACGGUAUGUACAUAUUUAAAAAUAUUAAAAUUUUUGAAGGAACAAUAUAUGAAAGUUGAAUUUUGUAAGAAUAUAUUUAUAAUUCAGUAUGCUUAUCAGAACACGCAUGAAAUUAACUCUUAAAAAAAAAAUAUCUUGGUUUUGGGAGGUGAAUGGUUGCUUAAGCUCACCACCAAGCUAAGAAACCAACGAAGGUGGAUUUUAUAAUUAAAGAUCAACUUCUUUUUCUGCAACAAGAGAGAAGAGAGAGAAGAAAUAGAAGAGAGAGAAGGGGGGCUCGAAAAGCAAAGGGGGGCGGGGGGGUGCGGGGGAUGCGAUUAAUGAUACGUAAGGAAGCGGAUCUCACCACGAAAACUGCUGCCAUUGGCUCACCCAUUUCAAUCAAGCAAAUAAAAAAAGACACCCAUGCAAUCCUCCCCGAACAUGUGUUUAUCUCCCCCCUCGCCCAGUCCCCCCCCCCCUCGCAGCUUUUCUAGAAUAAGAGAGAAACUCAAUUAAACACACCACACCCCCCCUACAGAUUUCUUUCUGUAACUCCUCAAUUUGUGAUACACACCGACCGACCAACCAACCAACCAACCAAGAAGAUCGUGAAAUUGAGAUGGACGGGGAGGAUCAGCUGGAUCACGCGGCGGCGGCGGCGGAGGCGGCGCUGGCGGCGGACGACGGUUCGUGCUGCGGCAGCUGGCUGAUGAACAAGAAGAAGCGGUUCAGCGAGGAGCAGAUCAAGUCGCUGGAGUCGAUGUUCGAGACGCAGACGAAGCUGGAGCCGCGGCAGAAGCUGCAGCUGGCCAAGGAGCUCGGCCUGCAGCCCCGGCAGGUCGCCAUAUGGUUCCAGAACAAGCGCGCGCGCUGGAAGUCCAAGCAGCUCGAGCGCGAGUACAGCGCCCUCCGCUCCGACUACGACCUCCUCCUCGCCUCCUUCGACUCCCUCAAGAAGGAGAAGCACAUGCUCCUCAAACAGGUGGGUACAUACCGCAAUUGUUUCUUUUCUUUUCUUCUAUUUUCACAUGAUCGAUCUUUACAUAUCUAAGCCCUUUUAGAUUCACAAAUAUUUUCGGUUCAAUUUUCGAGUAUUAAGAUUAUUUUUAGAUUUUUUUUUUUUUUUAUCAGAUCUAUAUUUUCAGAUAUUUGACCACACGCACAUUUUUACAUGCACUUUCUAAUAAAAUUCUAAAUAAGAUUUGUAUGCUACUUCCGGUAAUAAUCUUUGCUUGAUUACGUGCAUUUGCAAAAGCUCAGUUCCCCUGUCUACUACUUUAUAAGUAAUAUUUCCUCCCAUCUAUAUAUAUUAUUAAUAUAUAUAUAUAUAUAUAUAUAUAUUAUAUAUAUAUAUAUAUAUACUUUUCUGUCCGUACGUGAGUUAAAAUGAUAUGAUUAUUCUUAAACUAUAUCUAGUAUUGACAUCGAGAGAUGAUCCAAAGAAUUUUUUUUUUUUUUUUUUUACCUAGGUUAGAGCUAAAUCAAGAAAUAAAAAAAAAAAGAGGUACUGAGAAUAAUUAAUCCCAUUGGUAAAAGAACGGCUCUUUGAGAAAGGGCCGAAAAAGCCCCUAAUUGAUAAUAGUGUUAUAUUACACCUACUAAAUAAACAAAAUUCAUUAUUAUAUAAGGUAUGACUGGCUAUGAGAAGAGGAGGAAGCUGAUCUACAAGAUCAAAUCGAUUUUUUUGGAUAAUUGACAAUAUAUACUUAGCCUUCGUUUGGUUUGGGGUUAAGAAAGAAGUAGCUAUUCCAGGAAUAGAAUUAAGUUCAAAGUUAAAGUGGGAUUAAAAUUUUUUUGUGUUUGGUUGGAGGUUGGAGUUAAUCUAGAAUAAUGAAAAUUAGUGUUUGGUUGGAGUAGGUGGAGUAAAAAAAUAAUGAUUGAUAAAGAAGGAUAAUGAUUAGUUGGAGUAGGUGUGAUAAGAAAGAUAGUGGGUUAUUAUGAAUAGAAAAUAGUGUUUGGUUGGAGUUUGGUAGGGUUAGGUGGGAUUAGCUAAUCCGGAAUAAUUUAUUUGAGGUGGGGUUAACUAACCCCAUCCAUUUUUUGAAGUGUUUGGGGAUAAAAUGGGGGUUAAGAGGUUAUUCAACCCCUUAACCCCCAACCAAACAAGGGCUUAGAAAUUUAACUAAUUGUAUCCUAAUUUCUAUUCAAAACUUCUGGUACCUUAUUAAUCUAUAGCUGCUGUUUGGUUGCACGCAGUUGCAAAAGCUCAACGGGCUGCUGGACAAGCCGCAAGAAGGAAGAAGCAGAUGCUACGGUGAUUCGGAGAACGCAGAUCUCAACGGCGCGACGGAUAAACGACCGAACUUCCAAAUGAAAGAGGAAUCGGAUGCGAGGGUCGUACCGUACUCGGAUGAAGAAGACAAGAAGUUCCCGUGUUUGAUCAGCGAGGACGAAGCGGAGCUUUACACGGUGCAGCAACAAGCUUGCAGCACUUUAACAUCCGAAGUUGAGGAUCAGUUCGGUUUCCAAACCAGUUGGCCUUCUGAUCAGUCCUGCACCAGCACACAAUGGUGGGAGUUUUGGCCCAUGAAUGAAUAAACCCGCCAAAUUGCCGAUCGAUUUAAUGUUGCAGGUUUGCCGAGAAAUAUUAGAGUUGUUAGCAUGUUUAGGAUCAUUUAAAAGUUUGAGAUCGAUCGAUGCGGCUGUAAAUAGUUACAGAUUCUGGGUAUGUUUUUGCGCUGAAAUUUUUCACAUUUUUUUCCGUUAACCGGGCGAUCGAAAACGAAAUAACAUAGCCAAAUUAAUUAAUUAAUUAAUUAAUUAAUUAAUAUCAAUGAUGUGUAUAACCAACACCCAUCAUUGUUAAGGCAUAUAUUAAUUACAUAUAAGUUGGCUUGAUGGAAAUAGCAUCAUCAAAGUAAAAUAAACCACGAAAAGAAAAGAUAUAAGAUAGUGCAAAAAAUUCUAUGUAGGGACAAGAGUUUUAAUGCGUGUAAGGUACAUCAUUUUGUACAAAUGAUUUUAAGCAAAUGAAAGAGGCAUAAGCAAACUGAGUCUACUAGUGAGGUAGAGAAAUAAUAUUCUCAUUAAUUAGCAUUAGUUAAAAAGUAUCUUAGAAUGCCAAAAUCCACAGAUUAAAGAGUAAUUAGCCAAUCGUACAGAAGUCGUUAUCGAACUCACAAUCGAAAGUCAUGCUAUUUGAUUGAUUAGCACAAGCAUAGUACUAAAAUAUUUCCAUUUCAACGUGUACCAAUUGAAAACAAACACAGAUAAGAUACUAAAACCCAAAAAAAAAAAAAAAAAAAAUCUUGUACGGCUACCUUAAGAGACUUGAUCAAACUCCCAAAACUUUCAAUUAUUAAUAAUUAAUCUUUUUUUUAUAAUCACAAGUUUCCAAUUUCUUAAAUCGAAGAGUGUCGUCGACACGUAGUAUGACUUGUCAUGUAGAUUCUUUCCAUCUCUACUUGUUAUUAUAUUUAUUUUUUAGAUUAAUUUACUCCAAUUGAUUCCUUUCUUAUAAAGCUUUUGCUGGUGAUACUUCAAGUUCAAUGCUUAUUUUCUGCAGCUUUGUCUCACAAGCAAGUUUAGUUCACAAGAUUAAUACAGCUCUUAACCUGAUUAAUGUAAAGAGAUCCAACUUUUAAAAUUUUUCAUCGAAAUUCAUUAAGUUUCGAUUACUCUGUUUUGACUUAUUUUCGUCAUUUGAAUUCAAAAUUUUAUUAAAGGGAUACUAUCGAUCUAAUAUGCCUUUUGAAAUUUCAAAAAUAUUUAAUUUACUCCCGAUUGAUCAAAAUAUUCUUAUUCAUCUCAAAGAAUUUCUUUAAAUAUAUCCCUGCUAUCUAGAAUUCACUAAUGGCAUUGAAAUUUAAAAAUUUUAAAUAAUAACCUUUUUAUUAAAACAACUAACUUUAGUUUAGGGUUCCCGAUUUAAGGCAAUGCCCUAUUUUAUUGGUGUAAUUAAAUAACUUAAAUCAAAUAAUUGAAAGCUAGGAUGUGUUGUGUUGAUAGAGCCUAUUUUGGAAUGGCAUAUAUAUAUAUAGAGUCCGGCUGCUAUACUAUCGAUAGCACCAAGCGCUUGGUGCUAUUAGGGAUGCAAAUGGAUCUGGGUUGGGGAAGCUCCGCCCCGAUCCGCCCCGAAUGGCGUGGUAAGUGGGAACAAAAAAUAUAAAAAAAUAUAACCCGUCCCGAUCCGCCAAGUAAAUGGAGCGGGAGGUGAGACUCUUUUCUUCCUUCAAUCCGCCUCGAUCCGUCAAAAAUCCGGCUCCCGCCCCGAUCCGCCCCGAAUGGAGCGGUAAGUGGGAGCCAAAAAUAAAAUGAAAAGUAACCCGCCCCGAAUCCGCCCCGCCCCGAUAAGAAAUGGAGCGGGAGGUGGGGGAACUCUCCCGCCCCCGGAUCCGCCCCGUUUGCAUCCCUAGGUGCUAUCAAGUUUUCUGCCGUUAGAUUAACCCCUUUGAUUAUUUUUACCCGUUAGAUUAUAUUAUUCAACCAACCACUUACUCAAUCCUAGAGGCCCAUAUCAUCUUAACCGCAUAUUUCUCAAUCCAAGGGUUAAAAAACUAAUAGUACCAAUAGCUUGGUGCUAUUGAUAGUAUUCUAGCCUAGGUAUAUAUAUAUAUAGUAGGUCUUGUGUGCUAUUAGGAGCACGGAGGCUUUCGUGCUAUUAGGGUUCUCGAUUUAAGGCAAUGCCCUAUUUUAUUCGUGUAAAUAAAUAACUAAAAUAUUUUUUUUUUUUUUGAGAGAUAGGUAGCACGCUACCGGCUUCGUCUAUUUUGGAGUGGCCUAUAUAUAUAUAUAGAGAGAGAGUAGGCCGUGUGUGCUAUUAGGAGUACGGAGGCUUCCGUGCUUUUAAGCCGUUUUCAAUGAUGGAGCUUUUAAAUCGAUGAUCGGCUCCGUUAAACUUGAUCUAACGUAUUUGAAGUAUCUGAAAAAUAAAUUUUGUGAUUUUUUGAUAUCAUUUAUUUGCAAUCGAAAUGGUUCAAAAUAAACGAAUAAAAAUAAAAAUCUCACAAAAAGUGGUGAUAUAGUAUUAAAAUUUUCGAUCAAAGAUAUUGAUCUUAUUGCAAAUAGUAUAAAGAAUUUUUUAUUAAAAUUUUAUCUGAUUUGUAUGCUUUUAAACCGUUAAACUUGCAAACGAUAUAUAUCAACUAUUAAAAUUUAUUUAUUUUGAACCCUUUCAAUCGCCAGAUAAAUGAUAUUGAAAAGUCGCAAAAUUUAUUUUCUAUGUACUUUAAAUACGCUAGAUUAAGUCUAAUGGAGCCGAUCGUCGACUCGAAACCUCUAUCAAAAAUAGUUUAGGAGCACGAAAGCCUCCCUUCUCUUAAUAGCACACGAGACCUACUCUCUCUCUCUCUCUCUCUCUCUCUAUAUAUAUAUAUAUAUAUAUAUGGAAUUGAGCUUCUAUACUUUUAAAAGUACCAAGUUAUUGGUGCUUGUAGAUUUUUGACCAUUAGAUUAAGAAAAGUGCUGUUUGGAUGAUGUGGGGGCUCUAGGUUUGAGUGGAUGGUUGGUUGAAUAGUAUGAUUUAACGGAUGAAAAUGAUCAAAAGGAUAGAUUUAACGGUAAAAAAUUUAUAAACACAAAGUGCUUGAUGCUUUUACAAGCACCAUAGCCGAACUCACUCGCUCUCUCUCUCUCUCUCUCUCUCUCUCUCUCUCUCUCUCUAUAUAUAAAUAAAACCACAGAAUAGGAAAGUGAUAUAUAUAUAUAAGUUUGAGAGGAUCAUUAACCUUUUUUUUUAACCUUAAAUAACUAAAGAAAACUUUAAAUACCAUCCAUGUGGUUUUGUACUUUCUCACUUUAGUACUCUGUGGUUUAAUAUAUAUCACUUUCCUAUUCUGUGGUUUUAUUUUUCUCUUUUUAUUAUUCUUUCGACUAAUUUUUUUCGUUAAAUCAGUGAUAAAAUUAAAACUAAAAGAUACUAAAGUAAAUAUUCGAUAAACUAUAGAUGGGGUAUCUUAAAUUUUUGUAUAUGAUUUAACAAAAAGUUAACGUAGGGGCUGACGAAAAGAGAAAAAUGAAACCAUAGGGUAUUAAAUUGAUAGGCUUUAAAUCACAUAAUACUAAAGUAAGAAAAUACGAAACUACAGAGAUAGUAUUUGAAGUUUACCCAAAACUAAAAUAUAAAAUUUUGUACUUUUUUCUUAUCUUCAUACAAUUUUUUAGGCCCAGUUGUAUGGCUAAAACAAUGUUAAUGUCUCUUUCAUCCUCCCCAUUAGCUAUUCUUAUAUAGCAAAGGUUCAGCUACUCGGACACAUGAAAGGUUCAAAAAAACUCGCGUACGACAAAAUUGAUGACACUGACUGGUCAUAAUUCUAUAACGAAUCAACUGUACACGGAGAUGCUCCCUUAUUGAAAUAGACCCCUCAAAUCUUACUUUUAAGUCCCCCUAAGGCAUAAUGACCGUUUCUAGAACAAGUGGCAAAGAAUUUGAUAGUUGGUAUUCGAGAUCCAAGUCAAAUUCUAGUUGAUUCAUAUUUUUAGCUAAGUUUAUUUCUAAAUGAAAUAAACGAAACGUAUAGCGUGCUAUCUAUUUCUCUCAAAAAAAAAAGAAAUCUUCCUCAGGCAUUAAAAAUAGGCCUUUUUCUUAAAAAAAUCACCAAUUUUCAGAUUUUACAAUGGUGAGCCACCAUUUUGAUUUUAUAGAUUCGGCCCGAAUUUAUAAUAAACUGAGCAAUAUACUCUUAUUUCUCUUUCUCUCUCUUCUUUUUACUUUUUUUUUUUUUCUUCUGCUUCACUUUGUUUUUGUUCUUGCCAUUUCUUCCUCUUCUUCUACUCUUACUUUUUCUCCCCUCCUCCUGCUCCUCCACUGCCGUCACAUCGACGUCGUUCUCUCUUCUUUUUUUUUUUUUGCUUGUUCAUUUUCGCCUCCCGCUCUGGUUCAUCUCUCUCCUCGUCGUUUCUUCCUCUCCUCUUCUCUACUUUCUCUUCCUUUUCCUCCUCAUCUUUCACUGCCUUUACAUUAACGCCAUGUUCUGCUCUCUUAACUAGCCCACACCUCUGCUGACACCAGCUCAGAUAUGAUAUAGAUCGCGGAAGUGAGCUUACGGCAGAGUGCAUGGCUGCAGAUGGCGAUAGCAAUGAGGAUAUCGAAAGAUUUAAGGAUGACGGGGAGGGAGAGCGCAUCGAACGGAGGUGGUACCUGCGGUAGAGGACGAGAGAGGAAGUGUAAUAGCGAAAAAAGAUAUAGAUGGUGAAAAAGAAAGAAGAAGAAAGAAUAAAAAGAAAAAAUAAAGAAAAGAAUUUUGUCUUGUGAAGACUAUUAUGUGUCAUCACUGCUAAAGAAAAAAUCAAGAACCAGAGGAAAAAGAAUAAGAAAAUAAAGUUGCACUGUUUAAAAUAAAAAAUGCACUCUUUCAAACAAAAAUUGCACUGUUUAAAACUAAAGUUAUACUUUUUGAGUGAAAAUCAUAAAAUUAAUUUAUAUAUACAUACACACACUGACAGCCCAAAGAUAUAUUUGCCCUUGAAUCGAGAGUGUAAAAUGUACAUUCCCUACAAGGAAUGAACAGGUAGCAUUUUUGUUCUCUUAAGUUACAUCAAGCUGUCUAGUGAAGAAACUCCACUCGUGGGAUGGAUAAGGUGUAAGAUUAACAUCCAAUUUUAGAUUUAUGAGUAACAUUGCUCUUAAAAAUAUAAAAAGGUUAAAAAUAUAUAAAGAUUCUUUCAACUAGGGAUGUCAACGGGUAUGAAUGCUCGAAAUUUUAUCCAAAUCCGAAUGCAAACAGUGCGGAUUUAACCAAUGCUAAAUAGAUAUGAUUUUGUAUAUUGGUAUAAAAAACAAAAAUCUAACGGAUUUAGAUUUCGGUAUUGAUUUUAUCUAUACCCCCGAUUUAAAUCUAAACCAGACAGAACCCAAAUAAAUUUUAUAUUAUUAUAUAUAUAUAUAUAUAUAUAUAUAUAUAUAUAUAUAUUAUAUUUUAAUUUGUAUUUUAAAAUUUUAAAUUUUAACAUAAUAUAUUUUAAAAUAUGAGAAAAAGAAGUAAUUAUUUUGAAUUCAGAUUUUCGAGUUUAGUUCUGGAAUUUGCCCGGCUUUCAACUUGUCGACACCCCUACCCUCAACGAUAGGCCACGGAGAAAUAGCCUCCUAAACUAUACUAUUUUGGAUUCAAACCCUUCAACCUUUUUUUUUUUUUAUUUUUUUUAUUUUUAACUAGCAUCGAAUACUUUUAGCUGAAUAAAAUAAAAUUUUACUAAAUUGAUUGGUAAUCCCAUCAAAUUUUUAAAAGUUUAAACUAUUUAUAGUGAAUAAAGCCAGAUUAGUUAGCUACUUGGGGUAGCGGAGAUGAAAUUUAACAAUCUUUUAAACUUAGGCUUCGUUUGGAAUUGUAGGAAGAUUGCAUUAAUUACGUGCGGUGAGAAAAUACGAUAAGUAAAUAUUCUAUUUGUUUUGGUACGUAAUAUUACGCUCCGCAUAUCGUGAUAAGUUAGUUAUGAUAUAUUUUUUAUAUACGGUUCUACUAGAAAACAUAGAAGCAUAACUUUAUAUAUUUUUACCCUAUCUCUAUUUUAUCUAAUAGCUUCAGAUUGAUCUCGAUACCAAACUAAGCUUACCCUAUCUCUAUUUUAUCUAAAUGGAUCUCAAUACCAAACUAAGCGUACAAAAGUAUGAAACUCAUUUUCAAAAAGAUUUGAACUUAAAAACGGUGUCAAUCAAAUAUUUUAGAAUGGCUAUAGUUGAAGAGGGUCUCCAUACGUAUUGUUUACACAAAAGAGCAAAAGUUGAAGAGCUCAUUUCAAAAGCGCACAGGGUUGAGUGGGUCUCAUUAAACUUUCACUUUAAAAAUUGAGCAAUACUACUAGUACACUCUAAAAAUAAGUGUAUAUCUGAUAUUCAUUCGAUUCAAAAGUUAUUAAUUCUCUAUCUAUUACCUCAAAAAAAAAAAAUUUAUUAAAGAUUAUUUAUAAUUUUGUGAACUCUAGUACAGUGGAUAUAGAAUUUAUACCAAUUUUUGGAAUGUACAUAUGAGACCCCUUAUAUAUAUAUAUAUAUAUAUAUAAUAAGGCUUAAACUCUUAAUCCAGUUAUAGUACUCUUAAUCCAGUUAUAGUAUUUUAGACUGUGAUUAGACCCAAGAGAUUAAGAGAGUUAAGCGUAUUAGAAUUAGAAUAGUCUUAGAAUGGACGACCCUUUGGAAAUUAGGGCGUCAUAAUUGGUAUCAUAGUUAGUUAUCAGCCGAAAGUGUGAGAUGAAUUUUUGCUGAGCUAGAAUUAUAUAGUAGGGAAAGCAAGACAAUCAUACUGUUGACUGUUGCGGAUGGAGUAUCACUCUCCCGCAAGGUCGGUUAAGACUAACGAGAUGAAUCUCACAUCACAUGCUACUCGUGAAUUUGAGCGUGACGAAGACGUCAGAACUUACAAAAAAAAGUAAGAAUAAAAAACUCGAGAUAGUCCUAUAUAGAGUUGAGCUAGAAUACUCUAAAAAACAACAAGAGGAUGGUGCUUUUGAGUUUUUAGCCAUUGGAUUGAGAGAUGUAAGGUUGGAUGAUGAUGAUAGGUGGUGGUAGGUGGUGGUAGGUGGAAUAGUGUUUAAUCGAAAGGCUAUUAGUAAUCAAGGAGUAGAUCGAUCCAAGGGUUAAAAACCUUUGUUUCUAAAGGUAUUCUAGCUCAAUUCGUCCUAUAUAUAAGAUAUAAUAUGACUAAUAUUCUUAAUUCGACUAUAGUUUUUUAAGCACUGGAUGUUA